UGAAGGCCUCUAAUAUCCUGGGUUUCAGGUUAUGACUCCAGUGUGAAGGCCUCUGAUAUCCUGGGUUUCCUGGUGCCAAGUUGGCUGGAUUAAGAUGAAAGUAUUGGCGUGAGGUGAAUGCAUUCUGCUGUUUGCUCGUAGAAAUAGCCUAGUGAUAAUUAUGAGAAAUUUCUAGCUUUCAAAGAUGAAUUAUGCAUCUGCGUGUGCUGUGAAGCUUUUAAGCACUGAACCUGGUCAGCUCGAUGUUGGAUACUUCCAUUGUAAUGUUUAGAAUCUUUUGUUUUCACUUCCAUGUUUUCAACCGGAACGCAGCUGUAGCAUGCUCCAGGCAUCCAAACUGGCAGCAUGUUUACGAGUCGCUGGAUCACAAUGAUAGGUGUCGAGGACUUAGGAUAGAGUUUGCUAUGCCAUCCCCAGCCCUGUUCCAAAAGGCAACUUUUGCCGCUCCCCUUCCCCCUCACCCAAGGGUGUGUGCUUUCCGUUUGCCACAUGCCCACACCCAUCCGCGCUGCCCCUCUUCCCCAUCCGUUUAACCCCCCUUGCAUCAACCUGCCCCUCUUCCCCAUCCGUUUAACCCCCCUUGCAUCAACCUGCCCCUCUUCCCCAUCCGUUUAACCCCCCUUGCAUCAACAUAGGGUUCCAGACAGGAAACUUGGAUAGUUCACUGUUUUCCAACCAAAUUCCGUGUAUAUAGCGAGGAGAUCUUUCUAAAAACUUCAACUUACAUGUACCUAUACAUAGAUUCAGAAUAUAUAUAUAGGAUGUAGGCUCUAGCUGUAAGAAAUAGUUGCCACUUCUACACCAAAAGAGUCCAGACCACCACAUCAUAUUGCACUGACGCCAACAAAAGCAGCUACUUAAUUCCUUAAAAUACAUGCAACAAGAAAUUAUCCCAAACCAGAGGCAUCACCCAAACAACAUGAAUGACGAUCCAUGGGUGGGAGGGGUGGGGGUGCUCUGCUUUGAGCAACAUCAGAAACAGAGCGCCAUUGCACAACAGUACUCCAGCAAAAACAACUUGUUGUAGGAGAACACCCUGACCACGCCACAACUCGUCGUUCGCAGCAGGCACCUCCUGUGGUCGGGUUUUGGAGGUAAUCUGCAGGACUACGAGCAUCAAGUUAGUUAUAUUUUAAAACAAUGUAGUAUCAGGUUAGUUCGCCUAGUGAACGGUUACGACAGUGACAAGAGUAGUGGUCUUAUUUACAAAGAAAAGGCACAUCCAUUUAGUGAUAAACCUUCUGUAAAUUAUGCGCAACACCUAAGGCACCAAAGACUAAGUACGUGUUUACCUUAUCUCCCUCCAAGAUAUGCCUCCUUAACUCCGUGAAGGCUUGCAGCCACUUCAUGCAUGUUGGGGCGCUCACUCGGGGACAACUUGGUGCAGCAAAGUCCAACGUUUAGCACCGAGACUAAACAGUCCAAAUCUUUUUCCUUCGUGGCUACUGGACGAUCUUGUAGCAAGUCAGAGUCAACAAUCUGUGAUAUCCCAGCAGGAAAAUUCAUCUGAACAAAGUUUGUGAUGCUCAGUCCAUCCUUGAACAUAUCUUCUGUCGGUCUCUUCCUCAAAAAUGUUUCGAACAGAAUAAUCCCAUAGCUAUAAACGUCCCCAGCAACUGAAACUUCACGACCAGUUGCCCACUCUGUAACAACACGUACGACGAUAGUUUAGUCAAAAUAUUAACAUAAGCAUCACAAAUAAGGAGUCAUUUUCAAGUUAUGCUGUACCAUAUAUGGCACAACAUGAAAACGAACAACAGACAUCACCUGGAGCGACAUAUCCGAUCGUUCCUUUUAUUACAGUCGAAGAAGCAGAGUUUGAGUCACCGAAAUAUGACUGUGUCGGACCAGCUUUGAACCUCGCAAGGCCAAAAUCUCCAACAUGAGCUGUCAUAUUAUCAUCCAAAAGAAUGUUGCUAGGCUUCAAAUCACAAUGAACAAUAACUCCUUGGGUGUCAUGGUGGAGGUACUCCAGUGCAUCUGCUACAUCCACCACAAUGCUCAGCCUUUGAGCUAGUGUAAUGCGCUCUGAAUUUGAAGUGUUUUCAUCACCCAAAGCUGAGUACAGUAGUGCGUGCAAGUCACCCUUUGGCAUGAAUUCAUAUACUAGGGCUUUGAAAUCAUUCCCUUUAGAAUCGAUACUCGAGCAAGCAGUUAGGAUAGGAACUAGAUUCCGGUGCCGCACAUUUCUCAAAGCAUUGCAUUCCGCAAUGAAGCUCUUUUGUGCUCCUCUUGUCUCUAGGGUGAAAACUUUAACAGCAACAAUAGUUCCAUCUUGCAACAGUCUACCUUUGUACACAGAACUGUAUCCUCCUCUGCCAAUCAAGUUGGAUGUGGAGAAGCCAUCAGUUGCUCUGUCAAGAUCGUGGCAAGAAACCCUGGGAAACUUUCGACCAAAAGAAGGGAGAGACAUGUAAAUAUUCUUCCGUUUUCUCCUCCUGAAUAGCAAGACAGAUAUGACCACAGCAAGUGACACCAUGCUGGCUAAUGGGAUCACUACUUUGAGCACUGUUGAUGUCACGUGCUUAGUUGAAUUUGAAGGUAUGACAGGGCAGGCCAGUAGGUGUAGCUUCGCUGCACCACCACAAAGCCCCUUGUUCCCAUCUACCCAUAAAGCAGUCACAUUCUUGAAUAUGCCAAUUUCUGGGACUUCGCCUUCGAGACGGUUGAAUGACAAAUCUAGUUGUUCAAGAUACAUCAGGCUGCCAAUAGACUUCGGUAUGGAUGCUGAUAAGCGGUUGUGAGACACAUUGAGUACUUUCAAGUUUCUGAUGCUGCCUAGUGACGCUGGAAUGCUUCCACUAAGAAAAUUCUGAUCCAACUCAAUGUAUUCCAUACUGUCACAGUUACCCAGUGUGUCAGGGAUGGCACUGGACAGGUUAUUAGAUGAAAGAUACAAGUACUGUAGUUGCUUGGCACGGCCUACUUCGGUGGGAAGUGGUCCGCCUAGGCUAUUUGAAGAUAGCGCAAUUUCUCUAAUUGUAGGAAUGCUGAAUAUCUCCUUUGGAAUGCUACCAUCAAGAAUGUUAUUGGAAAGCUUCAAUGCUUCAAGGGUUUUGAGGUCUCCCAAACUCGGGGGUAUAUGCCCAUACAACUGGUUAGAAUCCAAAACGAGUUCCCCCAGUAGAGAUAAAUUAGAGAGGGAAGAUGGAAUAUAUCCUGUAAAAGCGUUGUUCCUUAAUAUGAUAGCCCGCAAGCUCUCUAGAGUUCCUAGCCAUCCCGGAAUGACACCGGUAAACUGGUUUUCAUCCAAUGCCAAAAACUCCAGGCUGUGAAGGUUAGCUAUACCGGCAGGGAAACCCCCUGAUAGUCUGUUCCUUCCGAAGAAGAACAUUUCGAGUUUGCCAGAAAGGUUGGCAAAUGUAUCUGAUAACCGUCCUUCAAGACGAUUCCCACGCAGCGACAAUUUCUGUAGCUCAGUGCAAUUGCUUAGACUAUUCAUAAACUCCCAGUCUUGCUUGUCACGUGCUUGUAACUGAUUGUAUUCAAGAUUCAACCAGGAGAGCUCUUUAAGUUUGCCAAUAGAACUAGGCACCACCCCAGUGAAAUUAUUACUCGACAAAUCAACCAAGGAUAGCUUAGAAGCAUUCACCAGCGAAUUUGGGAUAGGCCCAUCAAACAAGUUGUUAAAUAAACCAAACUUUUGAAGAUUGGGUGAUGAACUACCAAGGUUGGAUGGCAGCUGGCCACUUAGAUAGUUGGAGGCAAGGCUUAGUACAACAAGAGAAGACACAUUGAGGAUGGCUGGUUGGAACCUUCCUGAUAGCUUAUUUCCCCAGGCGAAAAAGAACUGCAGCAUGGGCAUAUUUCCAAUUUCACUUGGGAUCUCGCCACUGAUCCGAUUUGACGAGAUAUCAAGUCGAGUCAGUGUUGUGAUGUUAAAAAGUGAAACGGGAAUUUUGCCGGUAAGAUUGUUAUAUGAAAUCAGCAGGCUUUGAAGGUGAGGAGGAAAAUUGGCAUGUGUAGGGAUUUGUCCAACUAGGUGAUUGCGAUCCAGCCAUAGCAUCUGCAGACUAGAACAAUUUGCGAAGUCUGGUAUCUCACCCUCGAGUGUGUUAUUACUCAAGUAGAGAUUCUGGAGGUGCUGCAGGUGACCAAGGGACCCAGGGAUUUGUCCAAUGAACAGAUUGCCUGGUAGGGAUAGAUUUCUUAGAAAUGUAAGAUUUCCGAGUGAAAGAGAGAUGCGCCCUUGUAAGCCUCGACCACUGAGGUCGAGGGAAAUGACGCGAUGUCGAUUCUUAGGCCUACACGAGACACCUUCCCAGUUACAGAAGUCCAUGCUGUCAUUCCAGGACAUCAGAGCUUGCUGGGGAUCAAGACUGAUUGCCUCCUUGAAUUCAAGCAGUGAUAACCGAUCUGUCGCAUUUCCAUGUGAGGAGCAGACGAUGACAUGGGUACUGCAAGCCACAAGUGCCAAGAGAAACUGUCCAACUGCAAUAACCAUCAUGGCUGGAUUUCUUUGUCGAAUUUAGAGCUUCAUUAUAUGCAUAAAUAAUACAAGCCGGCAAAAAAUUAGAUAGGCAACAAGUGUUGGCAAAUAUAAUGGAAUUGUUGGUGAGUGAAGUACCUGAAAGACUGCCCUGCACUAUCAGGAGCCAACACUUGUUCUCUGUUCCAUCAGCAAGAUUAAGCACAAGUCAAAACUAGAGACACUGAAUGUUGAAUAUUACUAUAACUGUGCACUUUACUAAUUGAAUUGCCAUUCAGAUAUUGUGUAGGACAUAAACUUUCUUCGAAGAGCUGACCUCUUAUUUAUACUACUUGUAUGGUAAGCUUUUUUAUGUAUCUAUCAGGAAAACAUGUCUGUAUCAACUAGCAAGCAGCGUGAUAUAUAAUCAUCACCAAACACACAGGCUAAUGCGCAUAAAAUCGUGUUUCAUGCUGAUCAGAAACUCGUGCUUUCUCGAUCUAGAAAAGAAGUUAUAAACGAACUCAAAGAUAAGCUAGACAUUUGUGCCCUUCAAGUUCUUGUUGGCCAUUGCCCACCACUUAUUGGACAUUUGGAAAAUGAAGAGAGUGAUCUGAAGUUAUACAGUAUGCAGCAAGUCUGCAAGAGAUAGAAACACUGAAACUCCACCCAGAAAAGCCAACUUUAUAUGCUUCAGCAAAUAGUAGAUGUAACUUACCAUGCUUUUGCACCGCCUCGUGGAGAGAGCCUGCGUACUUCUGUUGGAGAGCGGCGAUAGGCCUAUAGAAGUUCUUUACUAGCUGCUUAGAGCCAUACACGCUUCAUUUAUAUAGGCGAACCAAGUACUCCCUCCGUCUGGAGAUACAUCCAUUUUUAUACAUUUCUCCGACAAGUAUUUCCGGACGGAGGGAGUAUCUACCACCGACAAGCUAUAAUAUCAACUCCCGUAAAAAAAGAAAAGAAAAGCUAUAUAAUAUCAACGUGUUUUUUCUUUAUUAUUACUACAUCUAAACAAAACAGUGUUCCUCUUUCUUCAGUCCAAUCCCUAUCCAUAGAACCAGUCAAAGGCGGCUUCCCAUGGUGAUGGUGAUUAGUAGCAGUAUUGACCCAAUUUCAACAAAGAAAGUGAUUAAUAAUAAGGGAACCACUGGGCAUCAGACUAUUGAUGCAUAGCUUCCCGUCAGACCAGGUGGGCGUUGGAUGCAUCCUGAAACAGCGCCCGCACCCUCUUGGCAGUUGUCGAGACAAAUUUCCUUUAUUCACGUUUCCUUCCAUGUUUGAGGUCCCUAAAAUCACGUACGCCCACUAUUCCUGCCAGUUUCCCAAACAAACUUCCUCCAUUCUCGUUGCUUCCAUAUACGAGUUUAUUUUUUCUUUUGCGAAGUUGAGGUUUCGAUAAUCAUGUAUACGAAUUCAUGGGAUGCAUGGCUGUUGGAAAUAUGAGCAAUUUACUGAAUAAUUUUAUUAACAGAAAUACUAGAUAAAGCAUGACUAGUAUAGCAGUGAUAAAACAAGCCAUGCGAUUUGAAAAAGAGAAGGUAAAUAAUAUCUGCAUAUAUGAGCUAGAACCGAUCAUCUCUAGAACAGACAGUAGAUCAAGAUGCAUAUAUAAAGUAGAGCCUAACAUGUGUAAGGCAAACACUAGAAGAAGGAACUGUUGCAGGACUUCUAACAAGAAAGAUAAGAACACGUACUAGACAGCAGCCGGUGCAGAGGCACUGGACUUGGGGUUGGUGUCCUCCAUGUCGUCGAGGAGGUUGUCGACGUCGGGGAAGUAGUCGUCGUAGGGGAAGUAGUCGUCGGAGUCUGGGGCGUCCGUGACGAAGAAGUCAGUAGUCGCGCAGAGCGCUCCCCAAAAACCUUAUCACCUUUCUCCCGUACAAGACUCAAAAGGUGCGGUUCCGGAGGCCUACUGUCCCGACCUACGGUGCACGCCGCAAGCCGGGAUGAGGAAGAACGUAAUAGCAGUGCAGUGCUCAGGAACUUGUGGCGAGAGGAGGAAGAGAUUCUGGUGCGUCUCUCUGAGAGGAGCGACCUCCCUUUUAUAGGUGCAAGAGAAGGAGGCGAGAGGGUGCGCCGGGAGCUGAAGGGAACGCGGGAGACGAAACGAACAGGCAGCAGCCGAAGAGGUGCGCCGUUCGGAUUCAGUGUCCACUACAGAAAAAAUGUUUCAGCUUCCGAGUGACCUUUCGUAUACCCGUAGUGCGUGGCAAAAAUUUAGACAUCGGCUCGGCUCAUUCUCGCAACCCGUGUCGUGUCGUGUCGUGACGAGGCGUGGCGAGGCAGGCGGCGGAGGAGGAGGAGCGCGCGUGGAUGUCCCUCUUGUUCUCAUGCUCAUACAAGUGGGGAAAGAGCCUCCCUUAUAAGGAGGUCCAACUCCCACUCAACUAGCAAUGUGGGACUAAACAUUAGUAGUAUCCUUUGCCUUGCACAAAUGGGCUAAGUGGGCCUCUAGGAUUUAUUUAGGAAUUUCUGAAAUAGUUAUUGGGCUGUCCCAAAAUAGACUAAAUUCCAGCAAUCCCCCACCAGAUCCCAGAGGCACACAAAAUUUGCCUUUGGUUCCAAACACUGUUUUAUAUACCGGUACUGCAGUGGAGACUGUUAAGUUGAACUUCCACCUAGAACUCUAUGCUACACUAGUAAGCAACUUGAACAGUGGACUGAGCCUUGAACUGCAAGUUUUCUACGAAUCUAGCUUCACAUAAAGUCUUGACCGAUACGUGGCUACCGUGGGUCUUCCCCGCAGGUGGAGCUUAUGCGUCAUACUUCAAGACCUUUCAUGAGUUCACUAGAGAGAACCCUACUCUCAUAGAUUGCGACGUUUAACAAUCAGACUCAUAUAGGUGCGUUCUUCAAAAGAUGUUCUGCAGGACAACAUCUCUGCUUCAAAGAGCCACUUAGAACACAUUAAGAUAUACAUCAACCUGCCAUGCAGAUUAGGAGAGUAUUGCAUCUUCAUGGAGUGGUAUUUUUAACAAUAAGGAUACUCUCCUCCCAGUUGACCAACAACUUGUUGGAAAUAUGCCCUAGAGGCAAUAAUAAAAGGAUUAUUAUUAUAUUUCCUUGUUCAUGAUAAUUGUCUUUUAUUCAUGCUAUAAUUAUAUUAUCCGGAAAUCAUAAUACACGUGUGAAUACAUAGACCACAACAUGUCCCUAGUGAGCCUCUAGUUGACUGGCUCGUUAAUCAACAGAUAAGUCAUGGUUUCCUGACUAUGGACAUUGGAUGUCAUUGAUAACAAUAUCACAUAAUUAGGAGAAUGAUGUGAUGGACAAGACCCAAGGAUACCGACGAUCGAACCUCGGGCAAGUAACAUACCGAUUGACAAAGGGAAUUGUAUACGGGGUUGCUUGAAUCCUCGACAUUGUGGUUCAUCCGAUGAGAUCAUCGAGGAGCAUGUGGGAGCCAACAUGGGUAUCCAGAUCCCGUUGUUGUUUAUUGACCGGAGAGCCGUCUCGGUCAUGUCUACGUGUCUCCCGAACCCAUAGGGUCCACACACUUAAGGUUCAGUGACGCUAGGGUUGUAGAGAUAUUAGUAUGCAGCAAACCGAAAGUUGUUCGGAUUCCCGGAUGAGAUCCCGGACGUCACGAGGAGUUCCGGAAUGGUCCGGAGGUAAAGAAUUAUAUAUGGGAAGUCGAGUUUCGGCCAUCGGGAAAGUUUCGGGGUUCACCGGUAUUGUACCGGGACCACCGGAAGGGUCCCGGGGGUCCACCGGGUGGGGCCACAUAUCCCGGAGGGCCCCGUGGGCUGAAGUGGGGAGGGGAACCAGCCCUCGGUGGGCUGGUGCGCCCCCCUUGGGCCCCCCUGUGCUGCUGGAUCUUCAUCAACCUCUCCUCCCCCCUUGCUGGAUCAAGAAGGAGGAGAUGUCACGCUGACUGUACGUGUGUUGAACGCGGAUGUGCCGUCCGUUCGGCGCUAGGAUCUUCAGUGAUUUGGAUCACGACGAGUACGACUCCCUCAACCUCGUUCUCUUGAACGCUUCCGCUCGCGAUCUACAAGGGUAUGUAGAUGCACUCCCCUCUCUCGUUGCUAGAUGAACUCAUAGAUUGAUCUUGGUGAACAUAGGAAUUUUUUUAUUUUAUGCAACAUUCCCCAACAGUGGCAUCAUGAGCUAGGUCUAUGCGUAGUUCUCUUUGCACGAGUAGAACACAAAUCUGUUGUGGGAGUAGAUGUUGUCAGCUUUCUUGCCACUACUAGUCUUAUUUUGCUUCAGCGGUAUUGUGGGAUGAAGCGGCCCGGACCGACCUUACACGUACGCUUACGUGAGACAGGUUCCACCGACUGACAUGCACUAGUUGCAUAAGGUGGCUAGAGGAUGUAUGUCUCUCCCACUUUAGUUGGAGCGGAUUCGAUGAAAAGGGUCCUUAUGAAGGGUAAAUAUAAGUUGACAAAUCACGUUGUGGCUUUUCGUAGGUAAGAAAACGUUCUUGCUAGAACCCUAUUGCAGCCACGUAAAAGAUGCAACAAAAAUUAGAGGACGUCUAACUUGUUUUUGCAGCAAUUGCUUUGUGAUGUGAUAUGGCCAAAAGUUGUGAUGAAUGAUGAAUGAGAUAUUGUGAUGUAUGAGAUCAUGUUCUUGUAAUAGGAAUCACGACUUGCAUGUCGAUGAGUAUGACAACCGGCAGGAGCCAUAGGAGUUGUCUUAAUUAUUGUAUGACCUACGUGUCAAUGAUUUAAUGCCAUGUAAUUACUUUACUUUAUUGCUAAACCCUUAGCUAUAGUAGUAGAAGUAAUAGUUGGCGAGCAACUUCAUGGAGACACGAUGAUGGAGAUCAUGGUGUCAUGCCGGUGACGAAGAUGAUCAUGGAGCCCCGAAGAUGGAGAUCAAAGGAGCUAUAUGAUAUUGGCCAUAUCAUGCCACUACUAUUUUGAUUGCAUGUGAUGUUUAUCAUGUUUUUGCAUCUUGUUUACUUAGAACGACGGUAGUAAAUAAGAUGAUCCCUCAUAAUAAUUUCAAGAAAGUGUUCCCCCUAACUGUGCGCUGUUGCGACAGUUCGUUGUUUCGAAGCACCACAUGAUGAUCGGGUGUGAUAGAUUCUAACAUUCACAUACAAUGGGUGUAAGACAGAUUUACACAUGCAAAACACUUAGGUUAACUUGACGAGCCUAGCAUGUACAGACAUGGCCUCGGAACACAAGAGACCGAAAGGUCGAACAUGAGUCGUAUGAAAGAUACGAUCAACAUGGAGAUGUUCACCGAUGAUGACUAGUCCGUCUCACGUGAUGAUCGGACAUGUCCUAGUCGACUUAGAUCAUGUAACACUUAGAUGACUAGAGGGAUGUCUAAUCUGAGUGGGAGUUCAUUAAAUAAUUUGAUUAGAUGAACUUAAUUAUCAUGAACUUAGUAUAAAAUCUUUGCAAAAAAUGUCUUGUAGAUCAAAUGGCCAACGCUCAUGUCAACAUGAACUUCAACGCGUUCCUAGAGAAAACCAAGCUGAAAGAUGAUGGCAGCAACUAUACGGACUGGGUCCGGAACCUGAGGAUCAUCCUCAUAGCUGCCAAGAAAGCAUAUGUCCUAGAAGCACCGCUAGGUGACCCACCUGCUCUCCCAGCACUGCAAGGCGAUUUGAACGUUUGGCAGACACGUGCUGAUGAUUACUCCCUCGUUCAGUACGGCAUGCUUUACAGCUUAGAACCGGGGCUCCAAAAGCGUUUUGAGCAACACGGAGCAUAUGAGAUGUUCGAGGAGCUGAAAAUGGUUUUCCAAGCUCACGCCCGGGUCGAGAGAUAUGAAGUCUCCGACAAGUUCUAUAGUUGUAAGAUGGAGGAAAAUAGUUCUGUCAGUGAGCACAUACUCAAAAUGUCUGGGUUGCACAACCGCGUGUCCCAGCUGGACAUUAACCUCCCGGAUGAGGCGGUCAUUGACAGAAUCCUUCAGUCGCUCCCACAGAGCUACAAGAGCUUUGUGAUGAACUACAAUAUGUAGGGGAUGGUGAAAAAUAUUCCUGAAGUAUUUUCAAUGCUGAAGUCAGCAGAGGUAGAAAUCAGAAAGGAACAUCAAGUGUUGAUGGUCAAUAAAACCACCAAGUUCAAGAAAGGCAAGGGUAAGAAGAACUUCAAGAAGGACGGCAAGGAUGUUGCCGCGCCCGGUAAGCCAGUUGCCGGGAAGAAGUCAAAGAGUGGACCCAAGCCUGAAACUGAGUGCUUUUAUUGCAAAGGGAAGGGUCACUGGAAGCGGAACUGCCCCAAAUACUUAGGGGACAAGAAGGCCGGCAACACUAAAGGUAUAUGUGAUAUACAUGUAAUUGAUGUGUACCUUACCAGUGCUCGUAGUAGCUCCUGGGUAUUUGAUACCGGUGCCGUUGCUCAUAUUUAUAACUCAAAGCAGGAGCUGCGGAAUAAGCGGAGACUGGCGAAGGACAAGGUGAGGAUGCGCGUCGGGAAUGGUUCCAAGGUCGAUAUGAUUGCCAUCGGCACGCUACCUCUGCAUUUACCUACGGGAUUAGUUUUAAACCUCAAUAAUUGUUAUUUAGUGCCAAGUUUGAGCAUGAACAUUGUAUCUGGAUCUCGUUUAAUAUGAGAUGGCUACUCAUUUAAAUCCGAGAAUAAUGGUUGUUCUAUUUAUAUGAGAGAUAUGUUUUAUGGUCAUGCCCCGAUGGUCAAUGGUUUAUUCUUAAUGAAUCUCGAACGUAAUGUUACACAUAUUCAUAGUGUGAAUACCAAAAGAUGUAAAGUUGAUAACGAUAGUCCCACAUACUUGUGGCACUGCCGCCUUGGUCACAUUGGUGUCAAGCGCAUGAAGAAGCUCCAUGCCGAUGGACUUUUAGAGUCUCUCGAUUAUGAAUCAUUUGACACAUGUGAACCAUGCCUCAUGGGCAAAAUGACCAAGACUCCGUUCUCCGGAACAAUGGAGCGAGCAACCAACUUAUUGGAAAUCAUACAUACCGAUGUGUGCGGUCCAAUGAGCGUGAGGCUCGCGGAGGAUAUCGUUAUGUUCUCACACUCACUGAUGACUUGAGUAGAUAUGGGUAUGUCUACUUGAUGAAACACAAGUCUGAGACCUUUGAAAAGUUCAAGGAAUUUCAGAAUGAGGUAGAGAAUCAACGUGACCAAAAGAUAAAGUUCUUACGAUCAGAUCGUGGAGGAGAAUAUUUAAGUCAUGAAUUUGGUACGCACUUAAGGAAAUGUGGAAUCGUUUCACAGCUCAUGCCGCCUGGAACACCUCAGCGUAACAGUGUGUCCGAACAUCGUAAUCGCACUCUAUUGGAUAUGGUGCGAUCUAUGAUGUCUCUUACCGAUUUACCGCUAUCAUUUUGGGAAUACGCUCUAGAGACAGCUACAUUCACUUUAAAUAGGGCUCCGUCUAAAUCCGUUGAGACGACACCGUAUGAAUUAUGGUUUGGGAAGAAACCUAAGCUGUCGUUUCUAAAAGUUUAGGGAUGCGAUGCUUAUGUCAAGAAACUUCAACCUGAAAAGCUUGAACCCAAGUCGGAAAAAUGCGUCUUCAUAGGAUACCCUAAGGAAACCAUUGGGUAUACCUUCUACCUUAGAUCCGAAGGCAAGAUCUUUGUUGCCAAGAACGGAUCCUUUCUGGAAAAAGAGUUUCUCUCGAAAGAAGUAAGUGGGAGGAAAGUGGAACUCGAUGAAGUACUACCUCUUGAACCGGAAAGUAGUGCAGCUCAGGAAAAUGUUCCUGUGGUGCCUACACCGACUGGAGAGGAAAUUAAUGAUGAUGAUCAAGGUACUUCGGAUCAAGUUGCUACUGAACUUCGUAGGUCCACAAGGACACGUUCCACACCAGAGUGGUAUGGCAACCCUGUCCUGGAAAUCAUGUUGUUAGACAACGGUGAACCUUCGAACUAUGAAGAAGCAAUGGCGAGCCCAGAUUCCAACAAAUGGCUUGAAGCCAUGCAAUCCGAGAUAGGAUCCAUGUAUGAAAACGAAGUAUGGACUUUGACAGACUUGCCCGAUGAUCGGCGAGCGAUAGAAAACAAAUGGAUCUUUAAGAAGAAGACGGACGCGGAUGGUAAUGUUACCAUCUAUAAAGCUCGACUUGUCACUAAGGGUUAUCGACAAGUUCAAGGGGUUGACUACGGUGAGACAUUCUCUCCCGUAGCAAAGCUAAAGUCUGUCCGAAUCAUGUUAGCAAUUGCCGCAUACUAUGAUUAUGAGAUAUGGCAGAUGGACGUCAAAACGGCAUUCCUUAAUGGACAUCUUAAGGAAGAACUGUAUAUGAUGCAGCCGGAAGGUUUUGUCGAUCCUAUGAAUGCUAACAAGGUGUGCAAGCUCCAGCGAUCCAUUUAUGGGCUGGUGCAAGCAUCGAGUUGGAACAUUCGCUUUGAUGAGAUGAUCAAAGCGUUUGGGUUUAUGCAGACUUAUGGAGAAGCCCGCGUUUACAAGAAAGUGAGUGGGAGCUCUGUAGCAUUUCUCAUGUUAUAUGUAGAUGACAUACUUUUGAUGGGAAAUGAUAUAGAACUAUUGGACAGCAUUAAGGCCUACUUGAAUAAGUGUUUUUCAAUGAAGGACCUUGGAGAAGCUACUUACAUAUUAGGCAUCAAGAUCUAUAGGGAUAGAUCGAGACGCCUCAAAGGUCUUUCACAAAGAACAUACCUUGAUAAGAUAUUGAAGAAGUUCAAUAUGGAUCAGUCCAAGAAAGGGUUCUUGCCUAUAUUGCAAGGUGUGAGAUUGAGCUCGGCUCAAUGCCCGACCACGGCAGAAGAUAAAGAAGAGAUGAGUGUCAUCCCCUAUGCCUCAGCCAUAGGAUCUAUUAUGUAUGCCAUGCUGUGUACCAGACCUGAUGUAAACCUUGCCGUAAGUUUGGUAGGAAGGUACCAAAGUAAUCCCGGCAAAGAACACUGGACAACGGUCAAGAAUAUCCUGAAGUACCUGAAAAGGACAAAGGACAUGUUUCUCAUCUAUGGAGGUGACGAAGAGCUCGUCGUAAAGGGUUACGUCGACGCUAGCUUCGACACAGAUCUGGAUGACUCUAAGUCACAAACCGGAUACGUGUAUAUGUUGAAUCGUGGAGCAGUAAGCUGGUGCAGUUGCAAGCAGAGCGUCGUGGCGGGAUCUACAUGUGAAGCGGAGUACAUGGCAGCCUCGGAGGCAGCGCAUGAAGCAAUAUGGAUGAAGGAGUUCAUCACCGACCUAGGAGUCAUACCCCAUGCGUCGGGGCCGAUCACUCUCUUCUGUGACAACACUGGAGCUAUUGCCCUUUUUGCCAAGGAGCCCAGGUUUCACAAGAAGACCAGGCACAUCAAGCAUCGUUUCAACUCCAUCCGUGAAAAUGUUCAAGAUGGAGACAUAGAUAUUUGCAAAGUACAUAUGGAUCUGAAUGUCGCGGAUCCGUUGACUAAACCUCUUCCGCGAGCAAAACAUGAUCAACACCAGAACUCUAUGGGUGUUCGAUUCAUCACAAUGUAACUAGAUUAUUGAUUCUAGUGCAAGUGGGAGACUGUUGGAAAUAUGCCCUAGAGGCAAUAAUAAAAGGAUUAUUAUUAUAUUUCCUUGUUCAUGAUAAUUGUCUUCUAUUCAUGCUAUAAUUGUAUUAUCCGGAAAUCGUAAUACAUGUGUGAAUACAUAAAACACAACAUGUCCCUAGUGAGCCUCUAGUUGACUGGCUCGUUAAUCAACAGAUAAGUCAUGGUUUCCUGACUAUGGACAUUGGAUGUCAUUGAUAACAAUAUCACAUAAUUAGGAGAAUGAUGUGAUGGACAAGACCCAAUCCUAAGCAUAGCACAAGAUCGUGUAGUUCGUUUGCUAGAGCUUUUCCAAUGUCAAGUAUCUUUUCCUUAGACCAUGAGAUCGUGUAACUCCCGGAUACCGUAGGAGUGCUUUGGGUGUACCAAACGUCACAACGUAACUGGGUGACUAUAAAGGUAUACUACGGGUAUCUCCGAAAGUGUCUGUUGUGUUGACACGGAUCGAGACUGGGAUUUGUCACUCCGUAUGAUGGAGAGGUAUCUCUGGGCCCACUCGGUAAUGCAUCAUCAUAAUGAGCUCAAAGUGACCAAGUGUCUGGUCACGAGAUCAUGCAUUACGGUACGAGUAAAGUGACUUGCCGGUAACGAGAUUGAACGAGGUAUUGGGAUACCGACGAUCGAAUCUCGGGCAAGUAACAUACCGAUUGACAAAGGGAAUUGUAUACGGGUUUGCUUGAAUCCUCGACAUUGUGGUUCAUCCGAUGAGAUCAUCGAGGAGCAUGUGGGAGCCAACAUGGGUAUCCAGAUCCCGCUGUUGUUUAUUGACCGUAGAGCCGUCUCGGUCAUGUCUACGUGUCUCCCGAACCCGUAGGGUCUACACACUUAAGGUUCGGUGACGCUAGGGUUGUAGAGAUAUUAGUAUGCAGCAAACCGAAAGUUGUUCAGGGUCCCGGAUGAGAUCCCGGACAUCACGAGGAGUUCCGGAAUGGUAUGGAGGUAAAGAAUUAUAUAUGGGAAGUCGAGUUUCAGCCAUCGGGAAAGUUUUGGGGGUCACCGGUAUUGUACCGGGACCACCGGAAGGGUCCCGGGGGUCCAUCGGGUGGGGCCACCUAUCUUGGAGGGCCCCGUGGGCUGAAGUGGGGAGGGGAACCAGCCCCUAGUGGGCUGGUGCACCCCCCUUGGCCCCCCCUGCGCCUAGGGUUGGAAACCCUAGGGUGGGGGGGGGGCGCCUCCACUUGCCUUGGGGGGCAAGCCACCCCCCUUGGCCGCUGCCCCCCUUGGAGAUGGGAUCUCCUAGGGCCGGCGCCCCCCCAGGGGUCCCUAUAUAAAGAGGUGGGAGGGAGGGCAGCCGCACCCAUGCUCUUGGCGCCUCCCUUCCCCCUUGCUACACCUCUCCCUCCCGCGGACGCUUGGCGAAGCCCUGCCGGAAUCCCUGCUGCAUCCACCACCACGCCGUCGUGCUGCUGGAUCUUCAUCAACCUCUCCUUCCCCUUGCUGGAUCAAGAAGGAGGAGACGUCACGCUGACCAUACGUGUGUUGAACGCGGAGGUGCCGUCCGUUCGGCGCUAGGAUCUCCGGUGAUUUGGAUCACGACGAGUACGACUCCCUCAACCUCAUUCUCUUGAACGCUUCCGCUCGCGAUCUACAAGGGUAUGUAGACGCACUCCCCUCUCUCACUGCUAGAUGAACUCAUAGAUUGAUCUUGGUGAAUGUAGGAUUUUUUAUUUAUUUUAUGCAACGUUCCCCAACACAGCUUGUCUUCCACAUCUAAUUCACGGGAUCUCCGAUCACAAAGAAUAGGUUACCACUGUGAACAAUUCAUAUUGUGGGUCUCAUACCCAUCUCCCUCGAUACAUUAUCUAUCACAUUACUUGAUAGACCCUUAGUAAAAGGAUCUGCUAGAUUUUUAGACGUUUGGAUAUAAUCCAAUGCAAUAACUCCGGAGUUUUUCAUUUUUCUGACAGACUUUAACCUUCUCUGAACGUGUCUUGAUGACUUCAUGUUAUCCUUUGAGCUGCUCACUUUAGUGAUCACAGUUUGAUUGUCACAGUUCAUAAGGAUACCCGGUACAGGUUUCUCAACUACCGGCAAGUCAUUCAAGAGCCGACGAAGCCAAUCUGAUUCGACCGUAGUUGUAUCUAGUGCUGUGAGUUCUGCUUCCAUUGUUGACCUCGUUAAGAUGGUGUGCUUGUAAGACUUCCAAGAAACAGCGCCACCUCCAUGAGUGAAUACAUAACCGCUCGUGGCCUUUAUCUCAUCAGCAUCUGAGAUCCAAUUUGAGUCACUAUACCCUUCAAGCACCUUUGGAUGCCCAGUGCAGUGAAUUCCAUAAUUUGCAGUGCCUUUCAAAUAACGCAAAACUCUCUCUAUAGCUUUCCAAUGCACAUCUCCUGGUUUUGAGACAAACCGGCUCAGUUUGCUAACAGCAAAAGAGAUGUCAGGUCUUGUAGCACAAGUGUAACGCCCCAGAUGUAACUUUCCCCAUUUGUACUCCAACUCUUGCCGUUUCCGGUGUCAAGUUAUAUUUACUUCUCGGGUUCGGGUCCUUGUCUCCGUGUGUUGUUUUCGUUUUCAUGCAUCUCAUACCAUGUCAUCUCGUGCAUUGCAUUUGCAUACAUGUUCAUCUCAUGCAUUCGAGCAUUUUCCCCGUUGUCCGUUUUGCAAUCCGGCGUUCCGUUCUCCUCCGGUGGUCAUUUCUACCUUUCUUUCUUGUGUGGGGAUUAAACAUUUCCGGAUUGGACCUAGACUUGUCAAGUGGCCUUGGUUUACUACCGGUAGACCGCCUGUCAAGUUUCGUAUCAUUUGGACUUCGUUUGAUACUCCAACGGUUAACCGAGGGACCGAGAAGGCCUCGUGUGUGUUGUAGCCCAACACCCCCCCAAAUUUGGCCCAAAACCCACCAAACUCUGCUACAUGUCCUAGAGCGUUCGAUCACGAUCGUGUGGGCGAAAACCGCACCUCAUUUGGACUCUCCUAGCUCCCUCUAUGCCUAUAUAUAGACCCCCUCCUCCAAAUCCCGGAUCCCCUCGUCUCAAACCCUAGCUAAAAAAAAAACUCCCAGCCACCGACGGACAUGUCCGCCGCCUGACCGGACACGUCCGCCGGCGCCCCCGACCACUCGGUGCCGCCACGUGGCAGGACCACAUCGCCGNNNNNNNNNNNNNNNNNNNNNNNNNNNNNNNNNNNNNNNNNNNNNNNNNNNNNNNNNNNNNNNNNNNNNNNNNNNNNNNNNNNNNNNNNNNNNNNNNNNNNNNNNNNNNNNNNNNNNNNNNNNNNNNNNNNNNNCCACGCCGCGACUCCGCCGGGGCUCCUCAUCGCCGGCCGCGCCGCCCCAAGGUCCUCCCCGCGCCGCCGGCGUCCUUCUCCGGUCUCCUUCCUCCACGCCGGCCGCCGCCGCGGCCAUUUCCGGCGACUUCGGACCGGACUGCUACAGUAACCGCGCGCCGGUGAACAGUGUUUGCUACAGUGCGGCUGGAUCUAGAUCUAGGUUGACCUCUCUCCCCCGAAACCCUAAUUUUCGUGCUAUCUUUGACUGCUUGUAUCUCCGCAACCGUAUCUCCGUUUUGGGCGUAUGAUAUGUCAAAAUCUUCGUCUCGACAUGUACAUCAUUUCGUUCCAUUGCAUCAUUUGCAUUUGAGGUCAUCUUGAUACCCAAAAUGCUGUUAGAAGGAGGCUUCGUGAGUUAAAUUGCAGAUCCGUUAGUUCAUCAUGCACUUUUGUCAUUUUUGUCAUGUUUAAUUCGUGCAUGAUAUGCCUGUGCCCCUUUGGGAUGAAUUGUGAAGCAUUUUUUCUUCUUUCCAGAGGUGCCACCCAUGCAUUUUUAGGAUGUGUGUGUUGUCUUGUGCAAGCUUGCGAAGAGAGGUACCUGAGAUUGCAGAUUUCAGGGACUUAGUGAUUUUCACUAAGUCUGGGAUAUUUUAGUUCAUGAUGCUAUAUGUCCAGCUUGUUUCCUAGUGAUCCGUGCCUCUUUUGAGGAUGAUCAGUAAGGGAGUUUUGAUACUUAUGUUAUGCUCUAUCCAUCCAUGUCUUUGUUGGCAUAUGUGGAGUGCUCUAGGUUGACUCAAUCGAGCUCAACUUUUGCUUCGUUGUUAAUCUGGGCAGAUCGUCAACUUGUUUGCGAUUUUGCCGAUGCUACCGUUAGUGUUCCAUGCAUGCUAUGCCUUUGUUCUUGCCAUGUGUAGCUAGCACAUUGUGCCUUCUUGCUGGUUAUAUGCUUUCCUUGCCAUGACUUGCACCGUAGUGAGUGCAUCGAGCUCGUUUACAUGCCUUCGUGAGUUAUAUUUCAGCGUGUCUCAGUUUUCACUAAGUCUGAAAACUGAUUGUGUUCGAGCUAUGUUCGUGAGCUCGGUAGAGUAUUUUGUGAACCCUUUUGGCCCCAGGUCACUUUGGGUGUUUUAUUAAGCUUGUUGAGUAGCUCCAUGCCAUGUUCUUACUUGUCAUGUUCAGGUUUUGUAUCAUGUUGUUUUGCUGCUCCGAAGAGAGCAUCGUGAUCUGAAAUUUCAGACUAGUGUUAAUUUCACUAAGUCUGAAAUCUGUUUUGCAUUUGCGUUUUAGCCAUGCUUGUUUGAACCUCUUAAUGGAUGAAUUUGCCUAUGGCUCAGUGCUAGUGUUUUGUCAACCAUCUUGUGUACAUCACUGCCAUGUAUUUUGUUUUCAUGUUUGGUGGCUGUAGCAUGUUCAUUUCGUUGCAUUUAGAUGCCUACUUGCUGUAAAUCGCAUACCGGUGUCAUAUCUUAAAACGCUUGCCAUUUCCAAACCGUAGCUCCGAUUCCAAUGAUCUUUAUAUCGUUUUCAAGCGAUUUCAUCCCCUCUAUCCAGUGGCAAACUUGGUUUUCCAAGUUGAUGCCAGGUUCAUGCAUUUCCUGUCAUAUCUUGCAUUUUGCAUUCCGCAUCGCAUCCCGCAUAGCAUAUCGUCAUUUCAUCAUAUUGCUUGGUCUUGCCCGUGGUUGAUUGUAUCCUUGUUGCUUGUUUGUCUUGUUGGGUAGAGCCGGGAGACGAGUUCGCUACCGAGGAGCCCGUUGAGUUCGCUUGUGACCAGGCAAGAUGAUCAUACCCUCGAAAUCACUACUAUCUUUGCUAUGCUAGCUUGCUCGCUCUUUUGCUUUGCCACUGCUACGAUGCCUACCAUUUGCUUGUCAGCCUCCCAAUUGCAUGAUUGAACCUCUAACCCACCAUUGUCCUAGCAAACCGUUGAUUGGCUAUGUUACCGCUUUGCUCAGCCCUUCUUAUAGCGUUGUUAGUUGCAGGUGAAGAUUGGAGCCGUUCCUUGUUGGAACAUUCAUUUACUUGUUGGGAUAUCAUUAUAUUGCUAUGUUAUCUUAAUGCAUCUAUAUACUUGGUAAAGGGUGGAAGGCUCGGCCUCUCGCCUAGUGUUUUGUUCCACUCUUGCCGCCCUAGUUUUCCGUCAUAUCGGUGUUAUGUUCCCGGAUUGUGCGUCCCUUACGCGGUUGGGCUAUAAUGGGAACCCCUUGAUAGUUCGCCUUGAUUAAAGCUUUUCCAGCAAUGCCCAACAUUGGUUUUACCAUUUUCCACCUAGCCUCUUUUUCCCUUGGGUUUCCGGAGCCCGAGGGUCAUCUUAUUUUAACCCCUCCCGGGCCAGUGCUCCUCUGAGUGUUGGUCCGAACCAGGCAGCCUACGGGGCCACCUCGGGGAAACUUGAGGUUUGGUUUUACUCGUAGCUUGACCUAUCCGAGCGUGCCCUGAGAAAGAGAUAUGUGCAGCUCCUAUCGGGAUUUGUCGGCACAUUCGGGCGGUGUUGCUGGACUUGUUUUAACCUGUCGAAUCAUCUUGUUGUACCGAGAUACCGAGUCUGAUCGGUGUGUCUUGGGCGGAGGUCUAUUCCUUCGUUGACCGUGAGAGCUUGUUAUGGGCUAAGUUGGGACCCCCCUGCAGGGAUUGAUCUUUCGAAAGCCGUGCCCGCGGUUAUGGGCGGAUGGGAAUUUGUUAAUGUCCGGUUGUAGAUGACUUGAACUAAACUUAAUUAAAAUGAAUCAACCGUGUGUGUUACCGUGAUGGCCCCUUCUCGGCGGAGUCCGGGAAGUGGACACGGUGUUGGAGUUAUGCUUGCGCAGGAUGUUCCUUUAGCUUCUCGUUCGUGCUUCGCCUUCUCUUCUCGCUCUCUUUUGCGUAUAAUUUAGCCACCACAUAUGCUAGUCGCUUGCUGCAGCUCCACAUAUAUUUGCCUUAUCCAUUCCCAUGAGCUUAAAUAGUUUUGAUCGCGUGGGUGUGAGAUUGCUGAGUCCCUGUGGCUCACAGAUAUUACAACUCCAGAUGCAGGUCCAGGUGUUUCUGCUCCAGUUGACGAUUACGAGCUCAAGUGGGAGUUCGACGAGGACUCUCAGCGAUACUACGUAUCUUUUCCGGAUGAUCAGUAGUGGUGCCUAGUUGGGGUUAUCGAUUCAGGACCUUGUCGCAUGUUGGGUUCUUUUCUAUUUUGGCGCCGUAGUCGGGCCAUGAGUGUUUGUUUGAUGGAUGUUAUUUAUGUACUCUGAUGUGACGUGGCGAGUGUAAGCCAACUAUGUUAUCUCCCCCUUUUAUUAUAUAUUACAUGGGAUGUUGUAAUGAUUGCCUGACUUGCGACAUUGCUUUCAAUGCGGUUAUGCCUCUAAGUCGUGCCUCGACACGUGGGAGCUAUAGCCGCAUCGAGGGCGUUACAAGUUGGUAUCAGAGCCUUCCCCGACCUUAGGAGCCCCAUUGCUUGAUCGUUUUUAGCAGCCGAGUUGUGUCUAGAAAAAUGUUUUGAGUCCUUAGGAAUUAUAUAUCGGAGAGCUUAGGAAUUCUUUUUACUUCCCAGUCUCCUCAUCGCUCUGGUAAGGCAUCUUGGCGUAGAGUUUUGACUCUUCUCUUCUCAAAUUUCACUAAUUUUUUUUUUUAGGUUCACGCGAGUAUCUUGGUUUUGUUCCGAUGGUUUUGUGACGAGAACAUUGUUCUUGGUGCCUCCUGUCUUUAGGGGUUGUGGCAGUGUCCCGGGGAGUUGAGCUCCGAGGUGUUGUCGUCACAAUUUUAUCGUUGCAAUUCUGGCAUACUUGAGAUAUGUUCGCCGACAUCGAAAAUCUCUUUUAUGCAGUUCGUUGGUGAGAUAACCUCGACGCCACCCAGUACUGGGGCGGAAGUUCGGGAGUAUCGCCAUAACUUGUAUAACGGAUGCUUUUCGAAGGUUGAGGUAGAUGGUUUCCGAAGUUUUCUUGGUUAUGUGUUGAAGGAUGGAUACAGCUGGAUGUAGGAUUUGCUAGUUUGGGUGAGAUAUUGUGCUUCCCCUGUAUCCCCAACACCUGAUUGCAUAACCGGAAAGGUUCGGGAAUUUCAUAGGUGGGAAUUCUAGUAGCUCUAGUUCUUCUUCCACGGAUAUUGGUUUGAGAUUGGGAUUUCUUACCGAUUAUUCGUUCUUGAUCCGUACCUUGUUGAAUUAUUUCUCUUCCUUAAUUCUACGUGGCUUCUCAAUUUAUGGAUAUGUGACCAUUUCAAGAGGAAGGCAUUCGUUCAUUUUGUUCGGAUGUGAAGACUAUAUGUUGCAAUUUUCAUUCCGUUGGAUUCAGCUUCUAUAUUGUUGUCUAUCUAUGUGCUAAUGGUGGUCAACCUCUUCAGGAUGGCUCCUCCAACGCGCACGACUCCGAAUCCUGAUCCGCCUCCACCUCCGCCUCCUCCGGAAGCAUGGCAAGCUGUGAUGGCCGCUACUAAUGCAAAUACACAGUUGAUCAUGCAAAUCCUUCAAGAGCGCAAUCAAGGCAGUCAAGGGAAUCAAGGCCAUAAUCAGCACCACUUUGCUACUCUGAACCAGUUCCUCGCAAAUGGCCCAAAGACGUUCAGCGGUUGUGUUGAGGCUACCGAUGCUGACGAUUGGCUAGUGGAUCUGGGCAAGCAUUUUGAAUGUAGCAACGUCAGGCCUGAAGAUUUCGUCAAGUUCGCUUCUUUCCAGCUCAAAGAUCAGGCUGCAGAGUGGUUCCAGCAGUACAAGGAUUCCAGAGGUGGACGUGUUAUCACUUGGGACGAUUUCCGUCAAGAUUUCCGCGCUCAUCACAUCCCUCAAAGUGUGGUUGAGAGUAAGCGUCAGGAAUUCCGCAAUCUGAAGCAAGGCUCUUUGUCUGUCUAUGACUACAACAAGUUGUUCCAGAAGCUCGCCCGUUUUGCCAAGCAGGAUGUUCCUGAUGAGAAGAGCAUGAUCUAUCAGUUCAGGGGUGGUCUUCGUGAGGAAAUUCAGUUCGCUCUUGUCCUCUUUGAGCCGUUGAGAUACGAUGAGUUCUACAACAUGGCACUGAAGCAAGAGGCUGCUCAGAUGAGAUGUGAUGCUUCCAGGAAGCGUGCCAGAGAUGUUACUCCUUCUUCCUCUACUCAAGUGGUCAAGCAGCAGAAGUAUUGGCUUCCUCCUCCUCCGUUCCGUCAGCCGUAUCAGCAGAAGAGCAAAGGUGGCAGUGGUUUCUCCCACCCACCCAACCCAGGCUUUCAGAACAAGUCUUCGUCUCAAGCGCCAAGAUCGAGUGCUCCGUAUCACCGUCCGCUUUCAGAGGUCAUGUGCAACAAGUGCCAACAGAAGGGUCACUAUGCCAACAAGUGUACCAACCAGAGGCGUCUUCCUCCUCCUCCUCCUGUCAGAUCGGCAAGUACAGCUGUGGUGAAGCACAAUCCCAAGCACGCCAAGGUCAAUAUGCUGAAUGCAGCUCAGGCUGAGGAUUCUUCAGAUGUCAUUAUGGGUAACCUUCCUAUUAAUGAUAUUCCUGCAAAAGUUCUUUUUGACACGGGUGCAUCGCAUUGUUUCAUGUCAAAGCCAUUUUUUACCAAGCAUGAGUUCGUUUCUUCUCAUUUGGGUAAACAUAUGGAUAUCAUUUCUCCUGGCAAACGUUUGAGCGCAAGUCUGGAGGUGCCAGAUGUCGCUAUCACGAUGGGCGAUUUCAAGUUUCUUGCUUCUCCUAUGGUUCUUGGUAACUCGGAUAUCGAUCUUAUUCUCGGGAUGGACUGGCUCUCUAAGCAUAAAGCUCAGCUUGAUUGUGCAGCCAGGCAGAUUCAACUGACUCAUUCGUCUGAGGAUGUCAUUGUCUUUGCCGCUCGAGAUAAUUCCAUCCGGUUGUUUUCUCUCAAUGAGAAGGGUGAAUUGGAUGCUAUUUCGCAGAUUCCGGUUGUUUGUGAGUAUCAAGACGUCUUUCCAGAAGAGCUCCCAGGAAUGCCUCCGCACCGGCCAGUUGAAUUUGUUAUUGAACUUGAGCCCGGUACGGAACCUGUGUGCAAACGUCCUUACAAGCUCGGCCCCGAAGAGUUGAAGGAGUUGAAGAAACAACUCGAUGAGCAAGAAAGAUUGGGUCUCAUUCGGCCUAGUACUUCUCCGUGGGGUUGUGGUGUUCUUUUUGUGAAGAAGAAGGAUGGAUCGAGUCGACUUUGUGUUGAUUACCGUCCAGUAAACAAGAAGACCAUCAAGAACAAAUACCCACUUCCCAACAUCAAUGAGCUGUUCGAACAACUCAAGGGUGCUCAAGUAUUCUCCAAGCUUGAUCUCCAUAUGGGUUAUCAUCAGAUUCGUAUUCGUGAGCAAGAUAUUCCCAAGACGGCGUUCAGAACAAGUUUUGGUUCAUAUGAAUACACCGUCAUGUCUUUUGGCCUCGCCAACGCUCCUCCGACAUUCUCUCGCAUGAUGAACUUCAUCUUCAACCCCUACACCAAUGAAUUCGUUCUGGUCUAUCUCGACGACAUUCUGGUUUUCUCGAAGAACAAGAAAGAUCAUGCCAAGCACUUGCGUUUGGUUCUUGACAAGCUCAGAGAACAUCAGUUCUAUGCCAAGUUCUCCAAGUGUGAAUUUUGGCUCGAUGAGGUUCUUUAUCUUGGUCAUAUCAUCUCUGCCAAGGGCAUUUCCGUGAAUCCUGAGAAGGUGUCUGCAAUUGUGAAUUGGGAACCUCCUCAGAACGUGAAGCAACUCCGCAGUUUCCUCGGUCUCGCAAGCUAUUGCAGAAGAUUCGUUGAAAACUUUUCUAAGAUCGCCAAGCCUCUCUCAAAUCUUCUUCAGAAGCACGUCAAGUACGUUUGGUCUCCGGAGUGUGAUAUUGCUUUCAACUCUUUGAAAGAGAAAUUGAUCACUGCUCCAGUUCUGACUCCGCCUGAUGAAACCAAGCCGUACGAGGUCUUUUGUGAUGCCUCUCUCCAAGGUCUCGGUGCUGUACUGAUGCAAGAGAAGAAAGUUGUUGCUUAUACCUCUCGCCAGUUGAAACCUAAGGAGAAGAACUACCCCACUCAUGAUCUCGAGUUGGCGGCAGUUGUGCAUGCUUUGUUGACUUGGAGACAUCUUCUAUUGGGAAGGAAAGUGGACAUUUUCACUGAUCACAAGAGUCUCAAGUACAUCUUCACUCAGCCUAAUCUCAACCUCAGGCAGACUCGAUGGGUCGAAAUGAUUCAAGAGUACAAUCCGAGUAUCGAGUAUACUCCAGGCAAGGCUAAUGUGAUUGCUGACGCUUUGAGCAGAAAAGCAUAUUGCAACAGUCUGAUUCUCAAGCCUUAUCAACCCGAGCUUUGUGAAGCUUUCCGCAAGCUUAAUCUGCAAGUUGUUCCUCAAGGUUUCCUUGCCAACCUUCAAGUUUCUCCUACCUUGGAAGACCAGAUUCGCCAAGCCCAACUUCUUGAUGCUAUGGUGAAGAAGGUGAAGAUUGGUAUUGCAAAGAGUCAGUCCAAGUACAAGUGCUUCCGACUUGAUGACAAGGACACUCUAUUUUGGCGCCGUAGUCGGGCCAUGAGUGUUUGUUUGAUGGAUGUUAUUUAUGUACUCUGAUGUGACGUGGCGAGUGUAAGCCAACUAUGUUAUCUCCCCCUUUUAUUAUAUAUUACAUGGGAUGUUGUAAUGAUUGCCUGACUUGCGACAUUGCUUUCAAUGCGGUUAUGCCUCUAAGUCGUGCCUCGACACGUGGGAGCUAUAGCCGCAUCGAGGGCGUUACAACAAGCUAAGUACAUAAGCGAGCCAAUGAUCUGUGAAUGUUUCAAUUGGUCUCUAGCAAUUCUCCGAUUCUUUCAAAGCAACACACUAGCAUCAUAUGGUGUUGGAGAUGGCUUGCAGUCACUGUAGCCAAAGCGACUCAAGAUCUUUUCCACAUAGUGGGAUUGAAGCAAUGUAAUCCCACCAUCAUUGUCUCUCAACAACUUGAUGUUCAGAAUGACAUCAGCCACUCCUAAAUCCUUCAUCUCAAAACAGCGAGAUAGGAAAUCCUUGACCUCCUUAAUAACAUUCAGAUUUGUUCCGAAAAUCAGUAUGUCAUCAACAUACAAGAAAAGCAUAACUCCCUCGCCCCCACCAUGGCGAUAGUACACACAUUUGUCAGCUUCAUUCACAACAAAGCCUGUAGUUGUUAAAGUUCUUUCGAACUUCUCAUGCCACCGUUUGGGUGCUUGCUUGAGUCCAUACAAAGACUUCAGCAACUUGCACACUUUCCCUUCCUGACCAUCUAUUACAAACCCAUCUGGUUGUUCCAUAUAAUUUCCUCAUCCAACUCUCCAUUUAGGAAAGCAGUCUUAACAUCCAUUUGAUGAACGAGAAGACCAUGUGAGGCAGCUAGUGAAAGUAGAACUCGAAUAGUGGUCAGUCGAGCCACAGAUGAGUAAGUAUCAAAGAAGUCUUCACCUUCCUUUUGGGUAUAACCCUUAGCCACGAGCCGAGCCUUGUACUUUUCGAUAGUACCAUCAGGCCUAAGCUUCUUCUUGAAUACCCAUUUGCAUCCUAUAGGUUUGCACCCAUAAGGGCGAUCAGUUAUCUCCCAAGUUUCAUUCGCCAAGAUGGAAUCCAUCUCGCUACGAACUGCUUCCUUCCAGUAGUCAGCAUCUUCGGAUGCAUAGGCCUCCGAAAUAGAACUGGGAGUAUCAUCUAUGAGAUACGCAAGAAAAUCAUCACCAAAGGACUUUGUUGUCCUCUGUCUCUUGCUCCUAGUAGGAACUUCAUUGUUCUCCUCCACAGGACUUUCAAAGUGUUCCAUCGAAAUGGCAGGUUCGGUAAUUGUAACUGGUUCCUGAUUCGAUGAACUAGGCAUCUCCUGAUUAGAUGAGGUAGCCAUAUCCCUCAUGGGAAAGAUAUCUUCAAAGAAAGUCGCAUCAUUCGACUGCAUGAUCGUACCAACAUGCAUGUCAGAUACCUCAGAUUUUACUACCAAGAAUCUAUAGCCAAUGCUAUGAGAAGCAUAUCCCAGGAAAACACAAUCCACAGUCUUUGGUCCAAGCUUCCGCUUCUUUGGAAUUGGAACAUUGACUUUCGCCAAACAACCCCAUGUUCAUAGAUAAGAGAGUUUUAACCUUUUCUUCUCCCAUUCCUCGAAUGGAGUUAUCUCUUUGUUCUUUGUGGGAACUCGAUUUAGGACAUGACAUGCUGUCAAUAUCGCCUCCCCCACCAUGCCUUGGAGAGACCCGAUGUGUCUAACAUGGCGUUAACCAAAUCAGUUAGAGUACGGUUCUUCCUUUCGGCCACCCCAUUUGACUGAGGUGAGUAGGGAGGCGUCCUCUCAUGGAUUAUACCAUGUUCCGCACAAAAAGUAUCAAAUUCAUUGGAAAAAUACUCUCCACCACGGUCGGACCUAAGUCUCUUGAUUUUCCGAUCAAGUUGGUUUUCCACUUCAGCUUUGUAGAUCUUGAAAAAGUUCAAAGCCUCAUCCUUAGAUUUCAGAAGAUACACACUGCAGUAUCUAGUGGAGUCGUCAAUUAACAUCAUGAAAUAUUUCUUUCCACCUUUUGUCAAAACACCAUUCAUUUCACAUAGAUCUGAAUGUAUAAGUUCUAGUGGUGCAAGAUUUCUCAUCUCCGCAGUCAUGUGAGACUUACGAGGUUGCUUAGCUUGCACACACACUUGACACUUAGAUCCCUUGACAGUGGUGAAACUAGGGAUUAAGUUCAACUUCGCUAGUCGCGACAUGCAACCAAAGUUAACAUGACAAAGACGUGAAUGCCACACAUUUGAUUCAUUAUUGUUGCAAAUAUGAUUAACAACUUUAUUGCAAACGUCUGAUAAAGAUAAACGAAACAGGCCUCCUGACUCAUAGCCUUUACCAACAAAGGUUCCAUACUUGGAUAUUACAAAUUUAUUCGACUCAAAGACAAGCUUAUAGCCAUCUCUACACAGAAGAGAUCCGCUAACAAGAUUUUUAUUGACGGAGGGGACAUAAUGCACGUUCUUCAGCCGCACGAUCUUCCCCAAAGUAAAUUUCAGAUCGACCGUGCCAACACCACGAACAGAAGCACUUGAUGUUGGUGUUGUGUCGAAUAUAGUGUACAAGGUAGGUUACAGUUGGACUAUGAGUUGUAUUGUGUUUACAUAGGAUGUGGAGUCAUGUCCUAGUAUGACACUUGUAUCCUAGGCCUCUCAUAUAUAGCGGGGGUAGACACACGAUGUAACUUAUGCCAACGUAAUAGCACAGGCACGCAAGGGGGAGCCGGCGGCGUAUGACGGCGCCCGGGUGGCCGGUGUGCGGUAUUGUGACGGUGUCACGGGGAGGAGCGCCCGUAGUCAUGCCCCGGGGAUGUAGCCAUAUCGGUGAACCUCGUUAACAAAUCUCGGUGUCGUGCCUCGUGUGAUUGCUUGGUCCUCAGAUGAUCGACAUUAGGCCUCGGAUUUAUCAUGAGCAAGGUUCGAUUUGAGGCCGUGGUGUUGAUCUAGAGGAGGAGGAAAAUUCGGCUUUGAUCGGUUGUUCGCAGGAAAAAUGUCACCGAGGGAGUGCCAUAGGCGGAUGCGAAAUCGAUCUUUCAGCGGAUGAGUACAAGAAGCGAAUUAAGAAGCACGCGAUGGCAUGUUUCGGCUGAUCAGAACGGAAGUCAGCAGCGAGUGGUGUCGGCGAGAUCGAUUCGUAGAUUGACAGAGGUAGCGGCAGAAUCCUAGCGUCGGAAGUCUCGGCGAGAUUGGAUUCGAAGCGAUCGACUAGGCAUACUACAACCGGUGCUGGUAGGCUGGCCCAGGAGGGACUGGCUGAGCCAGGCCAUGCGUGGGCGGAGGCCCACGGGGUUCCAGCAGAGUCAUGGCUCGGUGGGCAGGUUGGACUGUGAGAGCACAUGCAUGGUAGCUAGUCCAUGGGUGACUACCGCAGGCGCAUGUGUGUGCUGGAGGCUGUGAAGCGUAUGUCUGUAUGCUGUAGAGAGCUACGAGAGAUUUGUUAAAAAAAGGAGCACGAGUGUCUAGGCUUCACAAAUGAGAUACGAGUUUGUGUUUCUGUACAUGGGCAGCCAGGAGAUGGAUUUCUUCAAGUCUUUGUUGCUAGAGGUACAUGGAGAUGCACACGCAAAUAGUGACGAGGAAAAAUAAUUGUGCAAAUAAUUCUUCGGGUCAGGUUUGCAUGGAAGUUUUUUCUGUCAAGUUUGCGAAAAGGGCUCGAAGAGUAUGUGAAGACGAGGACAGUGUGUCGUGUGGAUCAUGCAUACACAAGGCGUUCAAGCAAUGCACGGAGAUGUGCGAGACGGACACGACGCAGGGUGGAGCAUGGUUGCAGCUGGAUAAGUUCGGCUAGGUCGGACUAGAUAGUCUAACGGAUCGAUGCAAGUCGAUUGGUACAGAAGACGGUGUGGAAUCGGCGACGACGACAUAGGUGCGUGAUGCUAAUAGUGACCGACUUCUGGGGCUUGGAAACACGUGGCGCAGGCCCCGAGGGUUUGUGUGGCUUCGACAAGACUAUGGCGCGGGGUUGAUUCAAGGUGGUGUAUACACGGAGCUUGAAGUUGACGGGGCGCGUGGGUGGACUGAUCAUCUACCAUGAGUCAUGUUGAAGGUGGAGAUGGAGUCUGGAGGACUUCACUUGGUGCUGAUUGAGGGGCUACGACGUAAGUGCAAAGAGAGUCGAAGCCUAUUCAGCGGGAAAAGCGAGGGAGACGUAAUUCGGACUGGAGCCCAGUGGUAUGAUGGAAGCGUGAAAAUCGUCAUCGGUCGGUGAUGAUCGGUGGUACUCUGCAGUGGGGGUUGAGCGGUGUGGGUUUCGCGACCCUUGAGACUCGACCGGGAUAGCGGAGGCUCAACGCGGUAAUAGCAGCGAGGCAUGCGGUUAGCACGGCAUGGAGACGGACCAGGGCUCUGGUGGUCAUACAUGUGGUGGGGCAACUGCGAAUAUGACUCGGGAUGAUUACAAGCAAUGGUCAAAUUCCUUCAAGUUUCAGACAGGCGGUGAAGAAAGGAGCGGUGAUAUUGAGUUCAGGUAACUCUUAUGUGUGACACCCAAUAUGUGAGUUGUUCACUUUCACGCAGGUCAGUGAUCAGUGUGUGAUGGCAUUGGACGGAUACUCUGGAAGUUGGGAGCACAAACUAGAGUAACAAGGAACUUAAUUUUCGCUCGAGCAUUGACUGGGGUCAAGAAAAGAAGGGACUACAAGUUGCAGGUGGAGUCAUAUGGAGUCUUUGGAGUAGCAGGGGUGCUCAUGGGAUAAGCUCAAGUCCAAUGUACAUGGAAGUUUGACGCAUGGACAAAUCCAGGGUGGUGGAGUAUAUUUGCCAAGGUGGAGUUUGUUGGUGUUGUGUCGAAUAUAGUGUACAAGGUAGGUUAUAGUUGGACUAUGAGUUGUAUUGUGUUUACAUAGGAUGUGGAGUCGUGUCCUAGUAUGACACUUGUAUCCUAGGCCUCUCAUAUAUAGCGGGGGGUAGACACAUGAUGUAACCUAUGCCAACAUAAUAGCACAGGUGCGCAAGGGGGAGCCGUCGGCGUAUGCCGGCGCCCGGGUGGCCGGUGUGCGGUAUUGUGACGGUGUCACGGGGAGUAGCGCCCGUAGUCAUGCCCCGGGGAUGUAGCCAUAUCAAUGAACCUCGUUAACAAAUCUUGGUGUCGUGCCUCGUGUGAUUGCUUGGUCCUCGGAUGAUCGACAGUAGGCCUCGGAUUUAUUCUAACACUUGAACCGUUUCCCAUCAGCAUGGUUGAAGUCCCUGCAGUCUGAUAAGACGAAAACAUGGAAAUAUCACCGCAUACAUGCACAUUAGCACCCGUGUCAAUCAACCAAUCAGGAGAAUGACAUACUAAAAGAAUAGUGGGAAAUAUACCAUACCAAGCAUCCUUCAUGUCAAUGUCUCCGAUGACAACAUUAGCGGUCUUGCCGCCUUUCCCAGGAUGACGCUUGUCAUAGCUAUUAGGACAACUAGGAGCCCAAUGACCAGGAUCUCCACACACAUGACAAGAACCUUUCUUCUUGUCACUCUUCUUCUUGAAGUUCGUGUGUUGUACAACCUUGUUCUUCCCACCAAACUUUGCUUUACCAUCAAGCUUGCCCUUGUUCUUGAACUUGUGGGACUGGAAGUUUUUCUUCUGUACCAGAUUGGCACCAGAUCCUCCCUCAAUACCUCGAGCACGUGUGUCCUUUGCUCUCACCUUUUCUUCCACAUCAAGAGUACCAAUGAGAUCCGGGACGGAAUACUCCUGUCUCUUAUGCUUCAGUAAGGUAGCAAAGUUCCUCCACGAAGGAGGAAGCUUAGUGAUGAUACCCCCGGCAACAAACUUGUCCGGUAGGAUACAAUUGAAGUGCUCAAGUUCUCUAGCAAAUGACUGUAUUUCAUGAGCUUGCUCAACCACGGAGCGCUCUUCAGUCAUCCUGUAGUCAUAGAAUUGCUCCAUGAUGUACAGCUCAGUGCCAGCAUCCGAGACCCCAAACUUGGCCUCGAAUGCAUCCCACAUAUCUUUUCCAUUAUCAAUUGACGCAUAAGCAUCAACUAUGUUCUCACCAAGAACACUCAAGAGAGCAGCCUUAAACAAAGUAUCCAUUUUCUGAAAAGCUUGUGUCUGUUGGGCAUCUUGCUCUCCUUUAGGUUUGCCAAGAGUGGCGUCAUAGCAACUCAUGGUUUGAAACCAUAAGACUGCUCUCACGCGCCACCUCUUAUAGUGGAUACCCUCAAACAUAGGAGGUCUCAUGGAAGCACCAAAACCAUUCGAGGUAAAUUGCCUAUAAUAAGGUUUUUGGAUUGUUGGAAAUAUGAGCAAUUUACCAAAUAAUUUUAUUACCAGAAAUACUAGAUAAAGCAUGACUAGUAUAGCAGUCAUAAAACAAGCCAUGCGAUUUCAAAAAGAGAAGGUAAAUAAUAUCUGCAUAUAUGAGCUAGACCGAUCAUCUCUAGAGCAGACAGUAGAUCAAGAUGCAUAUAUAAAGUAGAGCCUAACAUGUGUAGGGCAAACACUAGAAGAAGCAACUGUUGCAGGACUUCUAACAGGAAAGAUAAGAACACAUACUGGACAGCAGCCGGAGCAGAGGCACUGGACUUGGGGUCGGUGUCCUCCAUGUCGUCGAGGAGGUUGUCGAUGUCGGGGAAGUAGUCGUCGGAGUCUGGGGCGUCCGUGACGAAGAAGUCAGUAGUCACGCAGAGCGCUCCCCAAAAACCUUAUCACCCUUCUCCCGUACAUGACUCAAAAGGUGCGGUUCCGGAGGCCUACUGCCCCGACCUACGGUGCACGCUGCAAGGCGGGAUGAGGAAGAACGUAACAGCAGCGCAGUGCUCAGGAACUUGUGGCGAGAGGAGGAAGAGAUUCUGGUGCGUCUCUCUGAGAGGAGUGACCUCCCUUUUAUAGGCGUAAGAGAAGGAGGCGAGAGGCUGCGCCGGGAGCUGAAGGGAACGCGGGAGACAAAAUGAACAGGCAGCAGCCGAAGAGGCGCGCUGUUCGGAUUCAGUGUCCACUACAGAAAAAAUGUUUCAGCUUUCGAGUGACCUUUCAUAUACACGUAGUGCGUGGCAAAAAUUUAGACAUCGGCUCGGCUCAUUCCUGCAACCCGCGGCGUGUCGUGUCGUGACGAGGCGGCGUGGCGAGGCGGGCGGCGGAGGAGGAGCGCGCGUGGAUGUCCCUCUUGUUCUCAUGCUCAUACAAGUGGGGAAAGAGCCUCCCUUAUAAGGAGGUCCAACUCCCACUCAACUAGCAAUGUGGGACUAAACAUUAGUAGUAUCCCUUGCCUUGCACAAAUGGGUUAAGUGGGCCUCUAGGAUUUAUUUAGGAAUUUCUGAAAUAGUUAUUGGGUUGUCCCAAAAUAGACUAAAUUCCAGCAAUGGCUACAUGGGAUGCGAAUUCAGGAGUUUGCCCCUGGAAUCUAUGAAAGGAUCUCGAAGCGAGCAAGGAGCACACACACAGUACAUGAAGCUAUUUCAAUGGGAUCCUGGACUCGGGACAUCAGCCCCGACAUGGCCUAUGAGGCUUUGGUGGACUAUUUGGAGAUUUGGCAGAGACUACAAGGGAUCCAACUCCAGGAGCACGUCCCCGACGCCAUCACUUGGGCCUGGGAAACGAACGACCAAUUUUCGAUUCGGUCUGCCUAUGCGGCACGGUUCGCUGGUAGGGAGGUGGCGCCGACGGUGGAUUUUUCCUGGCGAUCUCGGGCUCCUCUUCGGUGCCGCUUCUUCACCUGGCUAGCUAUGCGAAGCAGAUGUUGGACUUCAGACAGACUUGCCAGUCAGGGUCUCCCGCAUCUGGAUGCUUGCCCGUUCUGCGACCAGGAGGACGAGACCAUUGAUCACAUCUUGCUGAUAUGCGUGUUCGCUAGAACAGUUUGGAGAACUCUGUGCUCGGCCCUGGGGAAGCCGCAGUGGUCCCCAACGGCCCAAGACAACCUAAAGGAUUGGUGUGUUAAGCGAACGUCGAGUGUCCGCAAGCUGAAGGAGCUACGAGCGCUCCUCACCCUAGGGCUUUGGGAGUUGUGGAAGCAUAGGAAUGCAAUUGUGUUCGACUGGGAGUUGGGCACACGUCACGGAAGGUAAGGCUUGGAAGCAGGUGAGCUUAUUGAAGGGCGAAGUGGAUAGCAUGCUCGAUCUUUUGGUAGGGUGGGUAGGGAGUGAGUAGUCGCGACUGUCGCGUUUGUAGGUGGAGCGGUGGAUUGUACAUUAUGUGCGGGUGUUACUGUAGCAUUUAAAACUUUGUAACAUCUAUGGUGGUUCGGGAUCUUCCCCCACUCUUCUAUAAAAGAUGAUAUGCACACUCGUGCGUAUUCGAGAAAAAAUAAUCAUGUAUACUACUCCUGCUUCGUGUGAUCUACAGAUUUGCUUGCUGAGACUCAACUACUACAAUGCUUCAAUAUUUUUCUCUAUGAAAAACGCUUCAAUUGUUUAUCUAAAUGUUUUUUUAAACAGAGGCAAUUUUUUUUCCUCAUCCAUUAAUUAAGCAGAAAAGAGUUACCUAGUUAAUUAAUGAAAAACCGGGCGAAAACCGUCACAAACAGCUGAGCGGCACAUACAAAUAGCUCACACACACCUAUACAAAGAGUGCCUCAUCGAGCUAGCACACAAGCGUCAUCGUCAUCACUUUCCCCAAACAGGCGUCAUCACCAUCCCUAAUCUCCGAGCAAGCGACUCCGACUUUGCUAUGGACGAACGCCGACCCAACCCUCACUGCAGAGGUCGUGCAGAAAUACAUGAAGGCCCGUGCCAGAACUCAGCCACCCACGUUGAGGGCAACACAGCUCUGACUCUGAAGGAGAGAUCCGAAGGGGAACUAAGCAAGGAUGGUGUCAUGAAAGACCACCGAACGAACCACCUGUUGCAUGUCAUCGUUGCCAUAGGGGCACCGCCACUGUAGCUCCGACUUCAUCACAACAAACAAGCCAAGGUAAUCACAUGAACACGUUGGAGAAGAGCUGACUACCGCAACCACUGCAAUGCCUCCGACUUCACUUGCCCCAUCAUCGUUGCCACAUAAGCCUCAACACCAUACCAACGCCUUCCACCACCCAACCUCCCAACACACCCAUUGGUCCCUCUAACCGGAUUAAACUCCAAAAUCGAUGCCCUCAAGAGGGGAACAACGCCAAGGCGCCACCAACGACCGAUCCUCUAGGUCUGGGGUUUCCCCCAGAGGUGUCCCUCGCAGAGGAAGAGAGAGCAUCUCGCUGAUGCCUUCAAGAAGGCUACAGUGUCCACGGAUGCCGCCGUCACAGGCUCCGGCCAUGGACAAAACAGGUUUUCACCCAACCCUCUACAUCCUUUGGUCGACAAUCAAUCUAGCAGCCCACCUUCCCUCAUUGCAACUCCACACAACCACCGUCCUGGCAACCAAAUCCUGCAGUCUUCAAUCUGACAGCCACAUCGCAACAUCAGGAUGAGAUGCCUCAUCGUAGGAAGCUGCCAAGAGCUGCCACCCUACCGGACCUUGGUGUAGAGAGGCCGAGGGAGUCCGCACCUAGCUGCCGGCCCAUGAUGCGCGACGCCCUGUCGGUGAUCUAUGGGGCUAGGCAACCCCUUUGCUGGUUCGGCAAGGGGGAGCAAUCAACGCAAAGAGCAAGGGCAACAAGAGGCGCCAUAGUUUUACCCUGGUUCGGGCUGCUGAGAAGCGUAAAACCCUACUCAUGCUUCAAUGUAUUAGAUGGUGAUGAGCACAAAUACACGGAGCGCUCUCCCCCGGCAAGUGGCUAAGAGAGGGUAGCUGCAUGGAUACCUAUGCUUGAGGGUUGUCAAGGGUUCGAACCCCUGUAAAGGUUGCCUUGGUCAUCCUUUUAUAGCUCAAGGGGUUAUCACAGUGACAAAAAGUUCAUUAGAAGGUGACUAGACUGAUACAGAACUAUCAUAUCUAACUCUGCUAGUUAGUACAAAAGGCAUUAAAUGCACUGCUAGGUGUCGUGUGGAAGAGGAAUCCCGGCAAGGCUGUCGCACCGCUCACCCAACUGCCUCAUAUUAGCUUGACACACCAUUAGGAUGGGUGUCAAUAACGGUAAUAGCUCUCCCCAGCAAGCUCACACGUACGGGUUGCCUCCACAUAUCCACAUGCGGGCUCCACACCUCACUGGUCAGCGACCAGCUGGCCGGAGAGGCGGGGCGUUGGCGUUUGGCAGGAAGUCCGCAGUCGAGGGGCUUGCCGGGCCUUGUCUCGCCGGCUCAUUCCUGCCGGAGUUGGUUGCUUAUGUUGUAGAUCCUGUAGCUAGAUCCAAGACUUGGUCUUCUUAAUGCGCUCCUUGAUCUCACGAAGAGCGGCUUCUCUAGUCUGGUUUUGUAUAAAACUUGAUACUUGUCGGGGGAGUUGCAAUACAUUUGUGCAUAAGUCAGGGCAGCAAACGCCCAUGUUUGUUGCACCGACGGGAGCCCCCGGGCCUAGACCACACGUGUCGCCGGGCGUCGUUGGGCUAGGUCCAACAAUGCACAGACGCGCCCGCUGAACCUGCCGGGAAUCGAUGUUGUGUCUUGAAAUCUUCCUUGCUUCUUCAUUAAUCAUGGGUCUAGGUCAGCUCCCAGCUCCACUCCGGACUCUUGGUGCCUUGGCGGCACAAGCUGUGGGCAUCUAGAACUAGGGGGCGUCCAUGCUCAUGGGAUGCCAUUAGAGCGCCCGCACGUGGGUAGGGGUAACUGACAUUUCUGUCAUCACUCCCUCUACUGCAACUUUCCUCCUUUUCCCCACGACGUGCAGGACGUGGGAUUGGUGCAGAAGGGCGGCCAUGGUGGUAGUGCUCUGAUUAGAGGAGCCAGUACGCCGGAUUGGCGAAAUCGGUCGGUCGAUGGAGCAAGAUGCCAACCAGGAAUGCAGGGAGCUGGAUUGGUGGAGUGGGGUGGUUGCCCCAGGGUAGUGGAGAGCCAACCCACCGCGCUCCCAGGCUACUGUCGUAAAUUAUGACAAACCAAAGUGCCAAAGUGCUUGUUCUUAUUGUUCAAAAUACCAGCCAAUAAAUCAGUUAACUGGCUGAUUAAUCCCUGCUCAGUGGGUCACCGAGUAGCCGAUUAUUAACUCAUUUAUCAGCCAAUUAAAUGACUGAUUCGCCUAUGAAUCCCCUACUUGCUAGCUGACCGAGCAGCUACUAGUUAAUGAUUUUCUGAACAUUGGACUUCUUAUAUACUUCGAGCGCAAAAGUACUGUUUGUCUUGUUUGAAGUAGUGGGAUGGAUAUUUGCUAAGCUGAUUAUCCUUCAGACUUCAAGAAGGAGCUAAGGACACUCAAUAGAGAGCUUCAACUCCAUAUCUUGGAGCUAGCGGAUAUUUUAGUGGAGAGACCAUCUUAGUAUGCUCACAGGGUCGAAGACAUUUCACUCAUCUUCAAGAACUUACACCAUCUUCUUAAUUCCCCGCGGCCACACCAGGUAUGAACCCCAAUUUUUAUUUUAUGUGAAUAAUUUAUUUCUGCAAUUCAUUACCAUAACUCAUUUUAAAAUUUCUUUUAGGCAAGAGCAACAUUGGUUCACCUCCUUGAGAGCCAGAUACAACGUCGUAAGCAAGCAAUUGAGGAUAUAAAAUAGUGAGUAACUGAACUUUUUUCAGCUUGACUUGGCUCUAACUCAGCAUACCGAUGAUCUUCCAUUGGACAUGAUUUAUAGACAAGGAUAGAUAUCUAGCUCUGCAUCAGUACCUCUUACAUAAUACAGGUGUAUUAUCAUUACCUUUAUUAGAUUAACUGGUCCCUGGAAAUGUUGUACUGUACACUGAAGCAACCAUCACAUAUCUGUACACUUAUAAUGUGAAGGGGAACUGUAUUGUUCUAAUAAUCAUCAAUGUUUGUAAGGCGGUAAGGUGAGGCGCCGUACCACUGCCUCACCUUUGAAGCGCUUAAGACGUAAGGUGAGGUGAUGCCUUGUAGACAAAUAAAUAUCGGAAAUGUUAACGCCCACAUGUGUGGGCGUUUGCAUCUCGCCCACACACGUGGAUCCGCGUCCGUCCGUGAGCGCACGAAUCUUGGCAUGUUUCUAGUGCCACGUAGGACUGGCCUGGUGUGUGGGUGUUCACCCGGUCGCCCACACGGCCGUUUCACCACACAGAAGGGGCUAGUGUGUGGGCGUUCAGCAGUUCGCCCACACACCACUUUCCAUGCACGCACAAGGGCUAAUGUGUGGGCAUUUGCCAUCUCGCCCACACGCCCGUCUCCUCUCCCACACUCAAGCUACUAGUUGCCAUAUGUUUUGCAGCGCACAUGGCAACUGCCCUAGUGUACUUUAUAAGCAGGUGGCAACUCUCUUUUUACCCGAGUUGCCAUGUGUUUUGCAGGGUACACUACAACUGCCUAGUGUGCACGUAAGCAGAUGGCAACUCUCUCUUUACCGAGUUGCCAUGUGUUUUUGCAUGGUACAUGGCAACUGCCCUAACAUGCACGUAAGCAGAUGGCAACUCUUCCUUUUUACAUGGAAACUGCUCUAGCAUGCUUGUGAGCACAUGUCAACUCUCUCAACUGCCUAAUGUUAGUAUGUGGCAACAACUAAAAUUUUGAAAUCAUGGCAACUACAGUAGACCAGACCAUACAUGGCAACUGCAGUUGAGCAACCAUGACAACUGCAGUUGUCCGACAUGGCAACCGUACUUCAGCGAGAUGGCAACUGCAGUUAAACGAACAUGGAUGAGGGUCUGUACCAUGGCAAUUGCGGGCGCGCGAUGACUGUCACGCGUGGCGUGCGGGACCACAAGGUACGAGGCCUGACAUACGGGGCGUGUGGGCGUUAUCUACUUUGCCCACACGCACACGUGUGAGAGGGAUCGGGAGGGAAAAAAGAGGUGUGUAGGCAUUACUUGUUUUGCCCACACGUAGGUGUGUGGGUUGUUCCUCUUAUACACCACACAUUUAUGCCCAUAUGUAGGUGUCUGGGCUGUCCCUCUUAUACACCACCAAAUGUGUGGGCAAUCUCCCUAACAUCCACACGUGUGGCACUUAUCCGCGUCCAUAAAUAAAUAACAUAUGGCAGCCAAUUAGGAGAUUUAACAACUAGCAAUUGGAGUUUUAACAACUAACAUUAACAUACAUGCACCACAGGUUGCACAACAUGAUAACUUUUCCCGAAGCAUAGCUGAAUUAUUGGAUAGAUCAUAAGCAUUACUAGCCACAGGAUCCAUCGGAUCAGGGAUACCUGGCUACUGCAGCAACACUAAGAGAAGGCACAAUCAGCCAUCAAAGAAAAGAGAGAAAAGCCAAAUCACUAGAGCAACCAGAUCAAGCGUGGGGAAGGGGAGUAGCAGUGUUGGGGCUGCUGCCUUGUGGGUGAAGAAGCAGAUUUGGGAGGAAACAGAUGCGAAGAAGAAGGAGCAGGCAAACAGCCAAGAGCACAUCUAGGUACACUACCGGGAGAAAUAGUGCACUAGGAGGGGUGAGGGAGUCCUGGACUAGGGGGUGUCCGGAUGGCCGAACUAUCAUCAUCGGCCGGACUCCAAGACUAUGAAGAUACAAGAUUGAAGACUUCGUCCCGUGUCCGGAUGGGACUUUCCUUGGCGUGGAAGGCAAGCUUGGCGAUAUGAAUAUGUAGAUCUCCUACCAUUGUAACCGACUCUGUGUAACCCUAGCCCUCUCCGGUGUCUAUAUAAACCGGAUGGUUUUAGUCCGUAGGACAGAACAACAAUCAUACCAUAGGCUAGAUUCUAGGGUUUAGCCUCCUUGAUCUCGUGAUAGAUCUACUCUUGUAAUACCCACAUUAUCAAUAUUAAUCAAGCAGGACGUAGGGUUUUACCUCCAUCAAGAGGGCCCGAACCUGGGUAAAACAUCGUGUCCCUUGUCUCCUGUUACCAUCCGCCUAGACGCAUAGUUCGGGACCCCCUACCCGAUAUCCGCCGGUUUUGACACCGACAUUGGUGCUUUCAUUGAGAGUUCCUCUGUGUCGUCACCAAUAGGCUCGAUGGCUCCUUCGAUCAUCAACGACGCAGUCCAGGGUGAGACUUUUCUCCCCGGACAAAUCUUCGUAUUCGGCGGCUUUGCACUGCGGGCCAACUUGCUUGGCCAUCUGGAGCAGAUCGAAAGCUACGCCCCUGGCCGUCAGGUCAGAUCUGGAAGUCCGAACUUCACGGCUGACAUCCGCGGAGACUUGAUCUUCGAUGGAUUCGAGCCACAGCCGAGCGCGCCGCGCUGUCACGAUGGGUAUGCUUUAGCUCUGCCGCCGGACAGUGCCCUGGAGGCCGCACACGAGUCCGCUCCGACCCUCAAUGCGGAGCCGGCUGCGCAGAUCGAGGACGGGUGGCUAACACCGCCUCGAGGGCUGCAACCUCUAUGGCGAUGGAGCCGAAUACCGACCUUGUCCCUUGUGAAGCUCGUGACUCCGAGGUGCCGGACUCCUUGCCGGACUCCGAACCUCCCGCGCCCCCUCUAAUCGAAUCCGAUUGGGCGCCGACCAUGGAGUUCACCGCUACGGACAUCUUUCAACACUCACCUUUCAGCGACAUCCUGAAUUUGCUAAAGUAUCUCUCAUUAUCAGGAGAGCCCUGGCCGGACUGCGGUCAGGACGGUUGGGAUGCGGCGACGAAGAAAUUCAAUGCCCACCCACCACCCACUUAAUAGCCACUGUCGACGAUUUAACCGACAUGCUAGACUUCGACUCCGAAGACAUCGGCGGUAUGGACGACGAUGCCGGAGACGACCAAGAACCAGCGCCUACUGGGCACUGGAAAGCCACCUCAACUCAUGACGUAUACAUGGUGGAUACACCAAAAGGAAGUGAUAACGAGGAACAACGGGACGUGGCGAAGGAUAAUUCCCCCGAAAGACAACCAAAACAGCGACACAAGCGUCGCCCGAAGUCCCGCCUCGAUAACAACGACACCCAUACUAACCCAGCCGUAGAGCAGGGCGAACCAGUGGACGACGAACAUGCCACCAAGCAACCAGCCGAACAGGAUGAAUUGGACGAGCAACCCAUUCCUGGCGAAAACAAUAGUCCAGACGAUCUCACGCCGGACACAUCACCGGAGCAUAAGAACCUUCACAGAAGGCUCGUCGCCACUGCAAGAAGUUUGAAGAAGCAAAAGCGGAAGCUCAAAACGGCGGAAGACGUACUCAGAAUGAGAUGGAGCAAAGUACUCAAGACCACAGAUAAAUACGGCGAUAGUCACCAAGCAAAGAGCUACCCGAAGCGCAAGCUGUUGCCCGAAUUUGACGAGGAGGCCGUAGAGCCCCCACAGUCAAAAAAGAAAAAGGCCGCCUGGCCGGAUAGACGGCCAGAUAACAUGCUAAGAGCAGCAAGCGGCGCCGCACACAAUCUGGCACAUGAUCCACAUAAGGAUCCUCGCAAAAAGGAUGGCCCGGUCAGGUCCAUCUAUGGGCCAAAAAAGAAGGCUCCAGGAAGCAACACAAUCCGCCGAGUGUUCGAAGAUAACGGCACACCCAAAUACAGGGGCGCCGCACACCCACUAUGUUUCACCGAUGAGGUACUGGAUCAUGAAUUUCCAGUGGGAUUCAAGCCCGUAAACAUAGAGGCAUAUGACGGAACAACAGACCCCGGAGUCUGGAUUGAGGAUUAUAUCCUACACAUACAUAUGGCUAGAGGAGACAAUCUCCAUGCCAUAAAAUACCUACCCCUCAAGCUCAAAGGGCCAGCUCGGCAUUGGCUCAAAAGCCUCCCAGAAAAUACCAUCGGAAGUUGGGAAGAGCUUGAGGAUGCGUUUCGAGCAAAUUUUCACGGAACUUAUGUCCGCCCUCCGGAUGCAGACGAUUUAAGUCACAUAACUCAACAGCCCGGGGAGUCAUCACGCAAAUUCUGGAACAGGUUCCUCACCAAAAAGAACCAAAUAGUCAACUGUCCGGACGCCGAAGCCUUAGCAGCCUUUAAACAUAACGUCUGAGACGAAUGGCUCGCCAGACACCUCGGCCAGGAAAAACCAAGAACAAUGGCCGCGCUAACAAGCCUCAUGACCCACUUUUGCGUGGGGGAAGAUAGCUGGCUAGCAAGAUGCAGCACCAGCGACCCGAGUACAUCCGAGGUCAGGGAUGGAAAUGGGAAAUCACGACGCAGAAAAAAUCAGCGCCGGAAUAAGGAAAACGGCCCAAAUAGCACAGCGGUCAACACCGGGUUCAAAAGCUCUCGGCCAAAUAACAAAACACUGCCCCUUAAGGACAACAGUGACGAGCUAUCGAACCUAAACAAAAUCUUGGAUAGGAUAUGUCAAAUCCACAGUACCCCCGGGAGGCCUGCAAACCAUACACACAGAGAUUGUUGGGUCUUCAAGCAGUCCAGCCGACUUAACACCAAACACAAGGGGCUCGACACACCAAGCGAAGACGAUGACGAAUCCCACAAGCAGCAGGCCGGAAAACAGAAGACUUUCCCACUAGAAGUCAAAACAGUGAACUCACUUCAUGUGAUAAACAGUGCAGCAACUACUAAAACACGCGCCGCACGAUCCACCCAAGCGGAGCCCCGAAAUUGGAUGUCAAACCCAAUUACUUUUGACCAUCAGGAUUACUCCAGAAGCAUUCGAAACGCAAGAGGGACUACUUUGAUAUUGGAUCCCAUAAUCGACGGACUGUCAUUCACACAAGUCCUAAUGGAUGGCGGCAGCGAUAUAAACCUGCUAUACCAGGACACCAUCUGCAGAAUGGGGAUAGACCCUACCAAAAUCCGCCAUAGCAACACUUCCUUCAAAGGAGUGACGCCAGGCCUUUAUGCCAAUUGUACAGGCUCUGUACUACUAAAGGUUGUGUUCGGUUCAUCCGACAACUUCCGUCGCAAAAAGCUAAUCUUCCAUAUCGCCCCAUUCAAAAGUAGCCAUCAAGCACUACUGGGACGCGAAGCUUUCGCCCGCUUUAACGCGAUACCGCAUUACGCGUCUCUUACACUCAAAUGCCCGGUCCACGCGGCAUAAUCUCACUAAAGGGUAACUCCGAGUGUUCCUCGACCACGGAAAACGUGAGACUGCCUUGACAGCCACACACUAAUCCAACCUUGCUGAUCAAAGCCCCUAAAAACAGGUCAUUUAGACCUCGGACACGGUUAGGCGAGUCCGGCAUAAAUAAACAAGGGGCUUCCCAGCCGCAUACCUCUUUACAAAGGGGCUGCACGUAUAAACAAUGAGAGCCAAUAAAGCUCAAUUUUAUUCAUCUUCCAAAUCAUACUCUGUUUUAAAUACAUUUUUUGCAUGAUAUUUUUUCCAAACUAAGUUCUUCUUUUUUAUAGAUGAACCACGUGCUACACCCGUCCAGGAUACAGCACAACAGAGACACAGGCGCAGACGUGCAGCAGGGACCCGUUGCAAGGAUUCUUUUCAGAUUAAGACCCUGCGUAAACCUUUCUUACUGUCUCUUGUUGAUACUCAUCCCCCGAUUUCCUACCAUAACCGAGGAGGCUGGAAUUUUGGCAUCGGCCACGUCAGAAGUUCUCGCCUGUACCUGGACACUAGGGGCUUAGGGCAUUGUUCCACCCAUUAUCUUAAAGUCCGAAUACCUUAGGGAGUGUUUGGCGUCUCGAGUUAGGCCUUAUAUGCAUCAGCUCCGAAUCAUGUCUUUGGUCAAAUGUUGGGUUUGCCCGGCUCCUGUGUUUUGCUGCCUUACGUUCCGCUCCAUCGGCUAACGCGGCACUAGGAGAACUACUGCGAUUGUGCCCCGGUUCGGCCGGGCGAGCACCUCAGUAGAGAAAGCCGAAAACUGACUGUCAUGAUAUAGCGAGAGACUGGUCAACCACUCGAUAGACUACUGGAAUGUUUAGAAUUCCUCCGCUUUGACGAAGGACCGCCUCCCGGUCAGGCACACAUGCGCCCCGAGUUCGGAGAGCACGGUGCCUCUAGGGGCUAUAUAGUAGCCCCACCAUCGAGCUCCUAUGGCUAAGUGAAAGUGAUAAAGCAUUAUAGUCCGGUUGCCUAGUUUGCUAUGCUAUCACCUCCUUCAAAGGACCAAGACGUUGGAUUAAGUGUGAAAAGGCGCUUUUUUUGCAAACACCCCCGCACCAUGUGCGUGGGGGCUGAAGCCAAAGACUACCAUCUUUCAGGUUAUAAAUACAUAUACAUUAAUGGCCGCACAGGAGAUAUUUCAAUACUUGAACGCACAAGUAUAAAAAGUCGUUACAUUAUAAAUAUGAUCUCACAAAUCAUACAUGUCAUUUGAACAUGACAUUUUUCGAGCACUACGACUCUAUUAAACGAGCGCCCUGCAGGACUUCCUCAAAAUAGUGCUCGGUGGGUAAUCGGCUCUCGUCCGAACCCCGGGACGCAACAUCGAUGGCAUUCAUCUCCGCCCAGUAUGUCUUAACACGGGCAAGAGCCAUCCGUGCACCCUCUAUGCAUGCCGACCGCUUCAUCGCCUUGAUAUGCGGCACCGCCCUAAGGAAUUGCUGCAAUAAGCCAAAAUAACUCUUCGGCUUGGGCCUUUCCGGCCAUAGAUGAGCCACCACAUCCGUCAUGGCAAGUUCGGACAAUCAAUUCAGCUCAGCCCACUCAGCCAACCGAUCGGUCAACGGAAGUGGACGCUCCGGACUAUGGAAUUGAGACCAAAAAAGCUCUUCCAUCUCAUGAUCCUUCUGACUUCAGAAGUGCACAACUGCGUCCGCUGCACUCGCCGCCAAAUCCAGAUAAGGAUCCUCCGCACUCCACAACUGGCCCAAUUGAGCAUACUUUGGAUCCGUGAUCUUCCUACGCAACAGAAAGGGCUUUCCAGCCGCAAUGUCUCUGGCCUGACGCAGUUCCUCCUUUAUAGCCCGCAUUGCAGAACGGGCAUCCUUGGCUUCGGUGGUGGCCUUCUUCAGGCCCUCCUGCUCCGCUUGGCGUUCUCUUUCAAGAACCUCAUAGCGGUUGGUAGCAUCUUUUAAUUUCACGGCCAUUACGACCAUUUCCUCCCUGCUUCGGCAGUGAGCAGCCUUUUUGGCUUUUAGCUCCUCCGCUGCCUUCGAGGCAGCCGCUUCACUUUUUCUGGCUUGCUCCUUGGCUCGAGCAAGCUCUGCCCGAAGGUCUUCUACAGCAGCAGCACCAUCUGCAUCAAGCAUACAUGUUGUAAGGAGUGGGCAUCAACUCCCUUACCAGGUGACCGCGGAGAAACCACCUACCUUGUGACUCGUCAAGUCGUUUAUUGACCAGCGCGAUGUCCGCAUGCGCAACAUCGAGUUGCCGCUUCAGCUCGGCAACUCUAUCAGUCCGGCUGGCCACCGAACGUUCCGCCACCUGCAUAGGAAAGGCGCCAUUUUUUAACUGAGAUUAUGAUCCUCGGCACGCUGUCGCUUUCGACAACAUACCGAGUCUCAGGGGCUACUAUCUAUAUAGGGCGCACUCUAUGUGCAAAACUGUCAAAAGGUAUGUCAUUUUUUGCGUACCUCAAAUCCCGUCAGUAAACUUCCGACGGCCUCAUGCAACCCGCUCUUGGCGGAUGAGAUCCUUUCAAUCACCGUACUCAUUAAUGCGCAGUGAUCUUCUGAGAGAGACGCCCUCUCGAGCAAACCCUGCAGCUCCACCGGCCGUACUCCAGUAGGUGCCGAACUCCCCGGCCCCGCCAGACCCAGGGAGACCCUCCGUGACGACACCUCAGGGUCGUCCGCCCCGCCUGACGGGGCGGCAAAUGGAGGCGUUUCGCUCUCCAUCAUCUCCGGACGAAGGUCCCCCGAGGAUGAGCUCUGCUGAGAAGGGCUGAGAUCCGAACUACAAGGUAAAAACUUCGGUUAUCCUUAGAAAUAAAAUAGGAAUGUCACUUAUUACAAAACUUCCCUUUUUGUACUUACGGCUCGCUGGAGGGCUGAUUCCUUUGGGGAGACUGUGCGGCCGGGACUCCUCCCGGCCCAGGACCUUCCGGUGCAGAUUUCUUUCCCCGCUUCGAGGCUUUGGCCUCCGGGUUUUCGGAAGCGGUCCUCUUCUCCCCCUGGAGGGAGGGAUUCUUGAUUCCCCCCUUAUUGAGAGCCUCCUUAACAGAGGUGGUAGUUUCCCUGUUCCCCCCUUCGCCCUCCUCCGAAGGCGCUACCUCCAACAUUUUGAUUAACACGUGAUCUGGCGUGGUCUCAAGGAGGGGGGCCGGACACCGUAUCAGUUUUGCUUGUGCUAUCCACUCCUGUUCAAGGGAUAGCCGGUUAAAAGGAAAAUCCAUGAUAAAUAAAUGGAUGAUAUGUCCGGACACAGGUCUACUUACUUGAGUAUCCGAGCGAUUGCCGCUUAGGCCAGCGUCCUCGGUCAAGUCCGGACACAUUUCUUGUGAUCCGACGAACAGUUUGUACAUCUCCACGGGUUUUGUACCCAUGAAGUGUUGGAGAGCUCGUGGUCCCUCCGGAUUGAAUUCCCACAGGCGGAGGGGGCGACGUUUGCAGGGCAGAAGACGCCGAAUCAGCAUAACCUGCAUCACUACGACCAGAUUGAUCUCCCUCUUUUGGAGGUCUCGAAUCUGGCCCUGCAAUAGGGGUACGUCCUUGCACGGCCCCCAGUCAAACCCUUUGUUGACCCACGACGUCAGCCGUUGUGGAGGGCCCGAGCGAAAGGCGGGCGGCAGCCUCUGCCUGCUGCCCCUGGGAGCGGUGAUAUAGAACCACUCCUGUUGCCACAAGCCGAGCUCCUCCUGAAAGGAGCCCUCGGGCCAUGGAGCAUCGGCCCUCUUUCUUAUAACCGCCCCGCCACACUCUGCCUGAUGCCCCUCAAUCAUCUUCGGCUCCACAUUGAAGGUUUUGAGCCAUAAACCGAAGUGAGGGGUAGUGCGGAGGAAGGCUUCGCAGACGACAAUAAAUGAUGAGAUGUGGAGGAUAGACUCCAGAGCCAAGUCGUGGAAUUCCAGCCCAUAGUAAAAUAGUAUCCCCCUCACGAAGGGAUCCAUCGGGAAGCCUAAACCCCGACGGAGGUGAGACACGAACAUGACACUCUCACCAGGCUCAGGAGUAGGAAUGACUUGCCCUUGGGCAGACAACCUAUGCGAAAUCUCGUAGGUUAAGUACUUGGCGUCUCUCAGCUUUAGCACGUCCUCUUCUGUGACGGAGGAGGGCAUCCACCGACCGUGUAGGUCGGAGCUGGACAUUAUCGAAGGUCCGAAGUGCCCGAAUCUGGAGCCCUGGGUGUUGGGACUCGGGGUGAGGGGCGGAUUCGAUUGAGGAUUGAAGAAAAGGAACGGGCCUUGGUCUCAUUAUAAAGAGGGAGAAUACCAAGAGCCGUCCCCGUGACCGUUUGGAACUCGCCUUCGAUGGAGGGGGCAUGGUAACGGGCGUGGUUGGGUUACCCACGUCCGUAUUGAUGAGAAUCCUGGGAUAAGGGGAACACGAUCUCUGCUUCGACAAGACGUGCCAAGGAAACCGCUUCGCUAAACGCGCUGAGGUGGUAUAAUAAAAACGAUUCAAGUAAAGGCUUGGUUGUGGUGUGACGUCACGCCACGGAAUACGUCAGCAGAUUGAACUUGUGUAAAUGUUAUUCUCUCUAUGGUGGAAUGUGGAAUUUAUUUUGCAGAGCCGGACACUAUCCUGGUGUUCACAAUCUUCUAUACAUUAUUUGGAGAAGGAACCCGCCUUGCAAUGCCGAAGACAAUAUGCGCGCCGGACUCGUCGUCAUUGAAGCGUAGUUCAGGGGCUACUGAGGGAGUCCUGGACUAGGGGGUGUCCGGAUAGCCGAACUAUCAUCAUCGGCCGGACUCCAAGACUAUGAAGAUACAAGAUUGAAGACUUCGUCCCGUGUCCGGAUGGGACUUUCCUUGGCGUGGAAGGCAAGCUCGGCGAUACGAAUAUGUAGAUCUCCUACCAUUGUAACUGACUCUAUGUAACCCUAGCCCUCUCCGGUGUCUAUAUAAACCGGAUGGUUUUAGUCCGUAGGACAGAACAACAAUCAUACCAUAGGCUAGCUUCUAGGGUUUAGCCUCCUUGAUCUCGUGGUAGAUCUACUCUUGUAAUACCCACAUUAUCAAUAUUAAUCAAGCAGGACGUAGGGUUUUACCUCCAUCAAGAGGGCCCGAACUUGGGUAAAACAUCGUGUCCCUUAUCUCCUGUUACCAUCCGCCUAGACGCAUAGUUCGGGACCCCCUACCCGAGAUCCGCCGGUUUUGACACCGACAAGGGGGAUGGAAGAAAGAGCAGAUGAGGNNNNNNNNNNNNNNNNNNNNNNNNNNNNNNNNNNNNNNNNNNNNNNNNNNNNNNNNNNNNNNNNNNNNNNNNNNNNNNNNNNNNNNNNNNNNNNNNNNNNNNNNNNNNNNNNNNNNNNNNNNNNNNNNNNNNNNNNNNNNNNNNNNNNNNNNNNNNNNNNNNNNNNNNNNNNNNNNNNNNNNNNNNNNNNNNNNNNNNNNNNNNNNNNNNNNNNNNNNNNNNNNNNNNNNNNNNNNNNNNNNNNNNNNNNNNNNNNNNNNNNNNNNNNNNNNNNNNNNNNNNNNNNNNNNNNNGAGGAGGAGGGGCAUAGACAGGAGCUGCCGCCAAAGGUCCAGAGAGGAGAGGAGGGAUCCUUCUCGCGUGGAUUGGACGAUUGGUUCGAUCCUCCCUCUCUCCCCCUCCUCCUUGUGACUGCAGUGUGAAGGCCUCUCGUAUCCUGGGUUUCCUGGUGCCAAGUUGGCUGGAUUAAGAUGAAUUAUCUUCAUUUUAGGUGGUGAAUGCAUUUCACGGUUUGCUCGUAGAAAUAUCCUAGUGACAUUUAUGAGAAAUUUCUGUAGUUUUUGACGAUGAAUUAUUUAUCUGUGUGUGCUAUGAAGCUUUUAAGUACCGAACCUGGUCAGCUCGAUGUUGGAUACUUCCG
RNAcentral lists this long non-coding RNA (46965 nucleotides) under Triticum aestivum (bread wheat). RNAcentral's name for it is "long non-coding RNA (TAES_LNC023166)". The record is from RNAcentral. Lineage: Eukaryota; Viridiplantae; Streptophyta; Magnoliopsida; Poales; Poaceae.